AAAAAAAAACAACUACAAGUCUUUUGUCUUUUCCUUUGGUUCAUUAGCUUGGUCGGCAAGAAGACUUUUGGGAUACCUUUUUGGUUCAAACAAAAAAAUCAGCCUUCUUCUUUUUCUCCAUAUUUUGGUGCUACACAAUCAGCAAGUUUGUUCUUCAAGUGGGUAACGUUCCUUCACUUGAUAUUUGGGGUUUCUUGCGGUUUGUUCUUGGAGAUUUGGUUUACUUUUGUGAGGUAUUUUCCUCUUGUAAUUUACACCUUGGUGUGUUUGUAAGGCUUAUGCCUUUUGGCCACUUUGUAAACUCUUUUGGUGAUAGUGGAAGAAACUGACCUACCGGUCGUCGUGGACGUACCUCAAGUUAUUUGAGGGAACCACGUAAAUCUUGUGUGCUCAUUUAUUUUCUGUUAUUCUAUUUAUAUUGCUUCCAUUGAUUUACACUUGUGGGAAAGCCUAUUUUUUUCAACACAUACCUCUUGAGAUUAUUGAGAUUGUUUUGGAGGCCGCUUCUCCUGCUCCUCAGCGCAGCCUUGGAGGCAUAAGUCUCUAUGAUGUCCUCGGUAUCAUAAGCUGCCUCUCUGAUUUCUGCAACCCAAUUGCGAAUAACCUCACUUUCAUAUUGUCUUGCAUCUGCAUCUCUCAGAAAGCAUUUCAUCGUCCUUAGCUCAGCUUGAAUUUCAGUAACUUUGUCGCUCACCCCAUGUAAGAAACUUGCCUGUUGGAUUAACAGGUCACCUAGCCUUUCCACAGCAAAGGAAACAAUAGCCUCUGCCAUUUUUCUCUUUUUGUCUUUCACAGAAACCUAUUUUGGCUCUUAAUUUGAAUUGAUGGUAGGUUUAGAGGUAUUCUGUUGCGUUUUUGAAUGUUAUGGACGGAAGAAUCACUUCUUUGCUUUGGGAUAUUGGCAAUUGAUAUUCUACUCUCCUACUCAAAGAAUCUCUACUUCUUCCAAAUAUACUCUGCAGCUGGGGUAAGUUUAUUCAGUUGUGUUAUUGAGUGUUCUGGAUGGAGGAAUCACUUCUUCACUUGGGCAUAUUGGCAAUUUCUUUCUCCUCUUCUACUCAAAGGUUCUCUUUACAUCCAAUUCUACUUCUUACAAAUAUUCUCUGCAGCUCGGGAGGGAAAACAGGGGUGUCAGCUGAUUUUAAACAACUAGAGUCUACCGGACACGCCCCAUUUCCAAUUGUGAGGUUGGAGAUACUGAUUUUAACAACUCGACCUCUCUCUCCAAUCUUUAGGAGUGGUCUACCUUUGGAAAAGAUCCAAGCAUACCUCUUGAGGAGGUUUUGGACACUGCUGCUGGGCAGAGGUUACAUCGCAAGCAAUUCCUUCUACAUUCCAAUUAAUUACCAACCCUAGUCUCCUGAGCUCCAUUUUCAAACUGCUCAACUCUGUCACUCACCCAAUAUUACAAUUCAGCUCCCAUUUAUGAUAUCUCUGUUACCAUGGGAAAGCAACACGUCAAUGGUGUGUGGGUCAAGGCGCUUGGAUUCCAAUUACCAAAAGACAGAAGUAUAGCUCAAGGAUAGUACAGAGUAGAAUCAACCCAAUCAUACUGUCCUCCUUUUCAAUGAUCUUCUGUUUGUGAAGAUGAAUAAAAUAGAUGCUUGCAUAUCAAUUUCUUGUUUUCCUCAGAUUUACAUUUUAGAGCUACUUUGAUGGCUAGAAGUUUAUAGUGUAGGAAGUUAAGUUUCAUUUCCUUUUCCAAAGAUGGGAUUGAUUUAUCUGCUGAGGGAAGCAAGAUAGUUGUGGAGGAGAUACUGAAGGUGCUUAAGGAAGCUGAAUGGGAGCUUAGCUACUCCAUGCCCACUGAAUUCGGAGAUGACUCCCCAAUCCUCAUUGAUGGAAAGACCACCUUGAAUUCCUCAAAUGGGACCUUCCACAGGAAGAUUCAAUGGGACUAAUUAAGUUACCAAAUGCAAAUCUUUAUUGCGCAGGACAUGCAAAAGAGUAAAAAGGGGAAAAAAGGAAGAUGUUUUGUUUAAUAUCCCAGGAUAUAGAUGCAGUUCAAUUGGUUGAUUUACUUCCUACUGCUUGCCAUACUUGUGCUAUACUAUGGAGAUGAUGUUAGAACAAUUGGGGUUUUCUCUUUUUCUUUUCUGGAUGGGCAUAUGAAAGCACAACCUGUUAAAAAAGCCAAAGAAACAAAGGGAAAUUGCAUUGAAACAACCACUUUUAUUGUACACAACAGGACAAUGAAGCAUCACAAAAAAGCACAAUCUGAACCUUCCAAAAACAAUCCCGACAUCAAGAAAACUAGCAAAGGUUUUAUGGCAACACACCAACUAUUAAGAGGAGAAAAAGAGAGAGAGAGAGAGAGAGAGAGAGAGAGAACAUUGUUUUCAGAUCACAGACAGUUGAAUUUCAUCUACCACCGCACUCAUUCUACUUAGUAAAAGAGUACUGGGCAAGAAGCUGUGAAAGGUGGAGGACUACACUAAUUUCCCAAUUAGGCUGGCUGCUCACAAGUCACUGCUGCCAUUUAGCAUCACCUCACCAUCAGGGCCUAUUGGAUGAAAUCCAUCAGUAAGUUUUUCAUUCAGUGGUUGCUUCUUCUCUCUUCAUCUUUAGGUACCUCAUAAUCAAAAUCAUGGUUAGAAGCAGCAUUUCAACAAUUUAAGGCUGUUAAAAUAAGUGAAACUUUGAUUCAUAACUUCAAUCUAUGGGUGCUCAAAAGCAACAACAAAAUGUUGUCCUUAACAUGUUUUUUUAAUGCACAAACUCAUCAAAAAGCAUUAACAGCCAGGAAUAUUGGUUGAGGAAGCAAAUGCUCAAUUAUUUUUCAUAUCUUGCAGUUGAUGUAUGAGCUUUCCAUAAAUAGUUGAAUCCCUGAAAACAAUGUGUACUUUUUGGGGCAAAGAAAAGGAACUUGGUCCACUACAAGUUGUGUUUGUGGUAUAUUAAACAAUUGAAUUAUUUAAAAACCCCUAUAUUUAAGCAAAUUUUCCUCAAAUGGUUAAUUUUUUUAAUGCGCUAUUAGUUUAAACAAACAAAUGGUUAAAUAAUAAUAUGACAUGAAAGAUUUUUUUUAUUUUUUUAUUUUAUUUAAGAAUUUUUUAUGAAGAAUGAAAAUUUGUGGUCAAGCAGUUCAUGGGGAAAAAUGGGGUGCUCGCCAGUUUUUUGGUGUGUUUGUAUGUGCAGAAGAAGAAAAGUAAAAGUACAAAUGACUUACAUAUGGGAUGGCCAAGUAAUGAGAUGGAAGGCACCAAGUUGGACUUUGUAGACAUCCUCUCCUUCUCCAUUUAUCACUUGAAUCCUCUUUGCGAAUUUUCUGGGCAUUAACUCAAACUUCAAUUUGUUAAGGAUAGUGAUAGAAAUCCUCUCCUUCGGCAAUCAUUUCUAAUGAUUUAUAGUUAGCAAUUGUUAAACUCUCUAAGACUAGGCAUCAUACCUUUGUCCAAUAUCCUCAACCUUAAAAAGCAAUAGAUGCUAGAGAGUUGCAGACAUUUGAGUAGAGGGAAAUCAUAUGAAGAGAAAAUCAUUUUCUCUCUCAAUAUAUAACAUAUGACAUGAUGAAAGAGUUGUUUGAAAGAAUUUUUGGUAGAAUGAAAAUCUGUAGUAAAAAAAUUCAUGGAUAAAUGUGGAGUUCUUGCCUUUUUUUUUUUUGUGUGUUUUUUUAUAUGUAGAAGGAUAAAAGAAAAAGUACAAAUGACUUACCAACAAUUAAUGAGAUGGAGGCCACAUGUUGGACUUUGUAAAAAUCCUCCCCUUCUUUUCCAUUUAUCACUUGAAGCCUCUCCAUGAACUCUUUGUGCAUAUACUUGAUCUCCAAUGCUUGAAGGGUAGUGAUAUACCUUAGUCCUUCAGGAACCAUUUCCAAUGAUUUGCAUCUAACAAUUGUUAAACUCUUAAGAUUAGGCAUUGCACCUUUAUCCACCCUCAACCUUCUUAAGUAAUCGAUAUAGGAGACAUGCAGAUACUUGAGUCGAGGGAACCCAUGUGCAGAGAAAACCAUUUCCUCCCCAAAGUAACAGUCAAUCUUUAAGUGUAGGGUUGUCAAGUUAAGAAGCUUCUCUAAAAUUGGUAUCGGAUCCUGUUUUAGGUGAGACUCCCAUAAGGUUAACUUUAUGAGGUUUGGAGGGAAGUGGUGGUGCCCAGGCAAACUGUUUAUUUCUCCUCCCAAGAAUAGCUUAUAAAGAUGUUGGCAUAUAGAUAACUGCCUUAGAUCUGUUUCUUCAAUUUUGGAACUUACAUCAUCCAAAACCAAGGAAUGAAGAAUGUUUGAAAUGGGACAAGAGGGUUUGAGAAUUACCCCCAACUCUUUAAAGCUUUUGACAUUAUUUAUCUUCAAUUUCCGAAGCUUGGCCAAGUGUGCCAAAUCCUUUACAGCCCAUUGCGUUGCAUUAAAGUUUUUUAGCGUCUCCAAGUUGCUUAGGCUGUCCCAUUGCACCUUGCUGUCAUCCAUAUUAAGAUAUUGAGGAAGGCAAAGAUGUCUUAGCCAUUUCAUUCUACCUAUCACAUCACGUACUUUAGAGCAAGUUACCCGAUGAACACUGACAAACCGUAAAUCUAAAGUUUGGAUACAACUUAAAUUUCUUAUGGAUGAUGGAAAGCAUAAUAGCUUAGCAUAUUUAAGACUUAAGUACUUCAAGUGUAUUAGGUUACCAAUUGCUCUUGGUAAUUUUUCUUCCAAUGAAAGUCCCUCAAGACUAAGCACUCUCAAUAGUUUGAAGUUCUUCAAGUCCAACUUCCUCAUCAUCCAGUGGACUGAAUUUUUUGUUGGUGGAUAGAAUAUUAGGAGAGAUCGAAGGUGCAUACCAUUCUCUACGUUCAAGUUGGCGUUGCUAUUAGCACCUUCAUUUCUAUUAACAAUCUCCAUAUGAAUAGAUUGAUCUAGAUAUAUGGCACGUCUUCGGACUUUAUUUGGAACGAGUGUUGUUACUCUAGAGGAUGAAAAUGUCUCCACUUCCUGAAGAUUAAUAAUCUCAAGAAAGUUUUCUUCUUUUGCCUUUGAUGAACAUAAAUCUUGCAUAAGGUCAUGUAGGCGACAAGUUUUGACUCUUCCGUUUGAACUUACUCUUCCUGCUUGAACCAUACACCUUCCAAUUAGUUCAUCCAGAUACCCUUCUGCAACAUCUUCCAAUGUUUCUUCUCUCGCCUCUGAUAUAAUCCCUUCAGCCACCCACAUUUGAACCAAAGGUCUGGUUGGUAUUUCAUAGUCCUCAGGAAAAUUGGCUAAAUAGAGAAAGCAUGAUUUUAAGUAGUAUGGCAAGUCUUGAUAACUUAAAGCUAACACAUCAGACACUCCACUGCCUUGCUGCUCGUAAUUAUCUUUGCCUCUCCUCAAGUAUGAUUUAAUAUUUCUUUGAACUCUCUCCCACUCAUAGAAUGUGUGUUUUGUAGCUAGAAGUCCACCAAGCACAACAAUAGCCAAUGGCAAACCUCCACAAUAUCUUACCAUUUCCUUUCCCAACUCCUCCACGUUGUCAAUGCUAGGAUCUACCAAAUUAUGAGAAUCUGAUUAGAAAUAUUCUGAUAAUUAACUAUUACCAAGAAAAACAAAAUUACUUGAAGAACUAGAGUAAUGCAUUUUCUUGGGAAAAAGUUCAAAUUCCAGCAUGGACCCAAGCUAGAAGCUCAAACUGGUCCCAUGUGGUACAGCCCUUGUUUCAAUUGACUUGUUGCUUUGACAACUCAACCUUGUGUUAUAGCUAAUUUAUAAAAUGGAACUGACAAGAGAUAGAAUAGAAACUGUUCAGAGGAAAGCCCAAUUUUGGAGGCACAAUGAGAAAUACCUUUACCAUCAUCAUUUCUAGUUGGCAAUGCUUUUCUCUGAAGAAGCUCCCAACUCUCCUCCCCUGUUAAAAACUUUGGUUGGUGAAAGAAAGCCAUGUUUGGAUCCACAAUUGAAGCUGCCUGGCACCGAGUGGUGACCACAAUCCUGCUGCCCUCCUUUCCAAUUGGAAAGGCAGGUCUUAGACUCUCCCAAUCUUGUCUUCUCCACACAUCAUCAAGAACCACCAGACAUUUCUUUUCCUCUUGAAUUUUAUACAAUCUCUCCAACACUUCAUCAUCACUCAUGUUGUCAAUUUCCCUUCUCUGCUCUCCCGAAGGAGAUAUCAAUUUGAUCAGUAUUCCUUGCACAACAGCUCUGAUGUCCAAGUAUUGAGAUAUGGGACUCCAAGCAAAAUGAUCAAAAUGACGCCUGACACGGACAUGAUGGUAAACCUUUCUAGCAAGAGUAGUCUUUCCCAGACCCCCCAUACCAUAUAUGCACACAACGGAGCAUCUCUUGUCUGGUUCCACCAGCCGUUCCACCAAAAUCUUUGUACUUUCCCCCACCCCAAUUGUAUCUUUAUCAUCGAGGUGGGAGUAAGUUGGCCUACGGAUCAGUUGUUGCCUGCUAUUUCUGGAACUUGAGCUUCCUUCUCUAAUUUUAUUUAUGUCAUACCUUUGUAAACUUGCAGUGAGACUGGAGAGUUUGUUUUUUAUGGCAUCAAUCUCUGUCCCAACCAUGUGGACUGCCAUAAGUUCAGAGAAGAUGAAAGCAUACCUCUUGAGGAUAUUUUGGAGACCCCUUCUCCUCCUCAGCGCAACUCUGAAGGCAAAAGCCUGUAUGACGUCUUCAGCAUCAUAUGCAGCCUCUCUAAUUUCAGCAAUCCAAUUGCAAAUCAUCUCAUCUUCAUCUUGUUUUGCAUCCGCAUCCUUUAGAAAACAUUUCAUCCACCUAAGCUCAGCCUGAAUUUCCGCAACUUUAUUAGUAACCCCAUAUAAGAAACUUGCCUCUUGAAUUAACAGAUCGCCUAGCCUUUCCACAGCAAAGGACACAGUAGCCUCCGCCAUUUUUUCUGCUGAUACUUGUUCCUCCAAGAGGGAGGAUGGAGGAGCCGUGGAAAAGUUGGAUUGCCUCUUUGAUGUCUUCUACUCCUCAUAUCUCACUUUUAUUUUGAUAUAAUUUAAGAAAAAAUACAUUGACACCCCUCUCAUUAAAUACAUGGCUAUUAUUUUUUGGAGGCUUUCUCCAAUAAUACACCCUCUUUGCACACGGGGAAUCAAACAAAUAAAGCAGAAACAUAAGGCUGGCAAGUGGGGUCUGUGAUACAUUUCCUGGAUGUCAUGUUUUCUUGGUUUCUCUUAGAAGAUUUCAAUUCUAAUUUUGAAUAUUCAGUUAUCUCUAUGACGUGAAAGAAUUUUUGGGCAGGAUGAAAAUUUGUAGUUAAACAGCUCAUGGAUUAAAAAAAAAAAAAAAUUGGAAUGCAUGCCAUUUUUUUAUUUUAUUUUGUGUUUGUAUAUGUAGAAGGAGAAAUGAAGAAAUACAAAUGACUUACCAAUGGUUAAAGCUAUGGAGGGCAUGUGAUAGUGAGAUCGAUGCAGGGCAUAAGUUGGACUUUGUAGAAAUCCUCCCCUUCUUUUCCAUUUAUCACUUGAAGUUUGUCCACAAACUCUCUCGGCAUAUAGUCAAUGCGCAAUUUCUGAAGGGUAGUGAUACAUCUCAGUCCUUCAGGAACCAUUUCCAAUGAUAUACACAUACCAAGCAUUAAACUCUUGAGACUAGGCAUUGCACUUUUAUCCACCAUCAACCUUUGUAAGGAGAAGGUAUGGAAGAGUGGUAGAUAUUUGAGUGGAGGAAAACCUUUCUUAGAGAAAACCAUUUCCUCCCCAGUGUAAAAAUCAGACCAUAAGUCAAGGAUUGUCAAGUUAAUUAGAAGCCUCUCCAGAAUUGGCAUUGGGUAUUGUUUUAGAUGAGAAUCCCUCAAGGUUAACUUAGGAGGGAAGUGGUGGCGUCCAGGCAAGUUGCUUAUUUCUCCUCCUAAGAAUAGCAUGUAAAGAUAUUGACACAUCAAUACUAGCCUUAGAUCCACUUCUUCCAUUUUGGUCUUUACAAGAUGUAAUCUCAAGGAAUGAAGGUCGUUUGAAAUUAGACUAGACGGUUUGAGAAUUACCUCCAACUCUAUAAAGCUGUUGACAUUAGUUAUCUUCAAUUUCCGAAGCUUGGUCAAGUGGACCAAAUCUUGUACAACCCAUUGUUCUCCAUCAAAGUGCUUUAGCAUCUCCAAGUUGCUUAGGUUGUCCCAUUGCACCUUACUAUUUUCCACAUCAAGAUAUCGAGGAAGGUAGAGAUGUCUUAGCCAUUUCAUCCUACCUAUCACAUCAUGUGUUAUAGAACAAGCUAUUCAUUGAUUAAUACUGGUAAACCGUAAAUCCAAUGUCUGGAUGCAACCUAAAUUUCUUAUAGAUGAUGGGAAGCAUAAGAGCCUAAAAUUUUUAAAACUUAAAGAACUCCAGUGUAUGAGGUUGUCUAUUGCUCUAAGUAAUUUUUCUUCCAAUGAAAGUUCCUCAGGACUUAACACUCUUAAUAAUGUGAAGUUCUUCAAGUAAAACUUCCUCAGCAUCCAGUGGACGGCAGCUGCUGUUGGUGGAUAGAAUAUUAGAAGAGACUGGAGAUGUGUACCAUUUUCUGGGUUCAAAAUUGAUGCAGUUAUUAGCACCUUCAUCUCUAUUUUUCUGUACUAUCCUAACGUCUGCAACAUGAACAGAUUGAUCCAAAUAUAUGGCAUAUCUUCAAACCAUAUUUGGAGUAGGUGUUGUUGCCAUAUGCCAAAGACCGAUAAUCUCAAGAAAAUUUUCUUCUUUUGCCUUUGUCAAGCAUAGAUCUCGCAUAAGGUCAUGCAAUUGACAAGUUUUGACUCUUCCAUUUGGAUGACUCCUUCCUACUUGAACCAUGCAUCUAUACUAUGGUAGUGUUAUCCUGUCCGGGUUACUACUGGCUACUGAUAUAUGAUUCUUUUGGGUGCAAACUCAUUUUUCAAUGGAUUUUGGUUAAGUUUUGACAGUUAAAUCAUUCUAGAGUUUCUGUACUUGAAUUUACUGCAGAGCUAUCUUCCACUCCCCACUUUUGCAUUGCAUAAUUCAUUCCAGGAUGUGGUGGCCGGCUUGAUAUCUCAGGAUAUAGGUGCAGUUCAAUUACUGUUGCUUGAACUAUACUAUGAAGAUGAUGUUGGAAAAAUGGCGGUUUCCCCCUUCUAUCUUUUUCUGGAUCAGUAUAUGGAAGCACAGGCCGUUUAAAAAAGCAAAGAAACAGGGGGAAAUUGUAUUGAGAUGACCAAUUUUAUUUGCACGCAACAUGACAACAAAUGCACAACCACAACCAAUUAACAGAAGAACAAUCCCGGAUUCAGUCAUAAACAAGCCAACACACCAAUUAAAAGGAAGAAAAAAAAAUCAUAGGAAUAUUAUGAUCAGAUCAUGAUAAGCAUCAUUUACGGAGUAGGAACAAGGCUGCUUCCUAACAAGCACCAACUGCCAUUUUGCAUCACUUCUCCAUCAUUGACCACGUCCGAUGGAUGGAAUCCGUAUUUCAUUUUCUUCACGGGCGGACACUUCUCCUUUCACCCUCAUCUUAUGAAAUACAAAAUCAUAGUUAGAAGCAUUUCUCAAAUUAUUUAUUAAUAAAAGAACAUUGAAAUAGAAAGGUUAUAUAAAAGCAAGCUCUUUGUCACUUGAACAAUUUAGGAUUGUGAAAACAAGUGAGAAGUUGGUUCGUAACUUCAGUCUAUGGGUGUCACAAAAGAUUAACAAAAUAUCAUUCUUAUUUUGAUUUCCGUGAUGCAUAUUAAAAAGCAUUAAUGAACAUAAAGAAAAGGACCUUCAUCUAUUUUAUGUUGUGUUUACUAUCAAUUAAAUAAUUAAAUAAUCUAAUUAUUUUAAAACACUUAUAUUUAAUUAAAUUUUCUUGAAAUGGUUAAUAGCCCGUUAGGGUAGUCCAAUUGAUCAAGACAAAUGCUGAGACAUGUAUCCCAAUAAGAUACACAUGGUCUCAUAUUCAAAUCAUAUCAUUGAUGAUAUUCUGAUUUAUUUGAUGAUCAACGGAGAGCCUUAAGGACUUGGCAAGAGGUUGAAGAGAGAAGUAACAUGACAUGAUUUUUUUUUUUUAAUAGAAUAAAAAUAUGUAAUCAAAGGGUCAAUGGUUAAAAAUGGAGUGUUUCACAAAUUAAUGACUUACCAUCAAUUAAUUUGAUGGACGGCACGUGUUCGACCUUGUAGAAAUCCUCCCCUUCUUUCCCAUUUAUCACUUGAAGCCUCCGUAUGAAAUCUUUGGGCAUAAAGACAACGUCCAAUGUCUGAAGGGUAGUGAUAUACUUCACUUCUUCAGGAACCAUUUCCAAUGAUACACGUGCAAGAAUAGCUAAAUUCUUAAGAUUAGGCAUUGCACCUUUAUCCACCUUCAACCUUUUCACGGAGUGACUGGAGAUCGCCAGAUCUUUGAGCCGAGGGAACCCAUUCUUAGAGAAAACCAUUUCCUCCCCAAUGUAAAAAUCAGUCAAUAAGGAAAGGAUUGUCAAGUUAAGAAGGCACUCUAGAAUCGGUGUCGGGUCCUGUUUUAGUUUAGAAGAUCUCAAGGUUAACAUAGUGAGGUUUGGAGGGAAGAAAAAGUGCCCAAGCAAGUUGCUUAUUUCUCCAUCUAGGUUUAACUUAUAAAGAUGUGGACACAUUGAUAGUUGCUUUAGAUCUAUUUCUUCCACUUUGGUACCAACAUCAUUCAAACCUAAGGAACGAAGAUUGCUUGAAAUGGGAUGAGAGGGUUUGAGAAUUACAUCCAACUCUUUAAAGCUUUUGACUCUCUUCACUUCCAAUUUUUGAAGCUUGGUCAAGUGGGCCAAAUCUUUUAUGUCCCAUUGUUCUGCAUCAAAUUCUUUUAACGUCUCCAAGUUACUCAGGUUGCCCCAUUGCACCUUACUAUUACCCACAUGAAGACGGAAAGGAAGGUAGAGAUGUCUUAGCCAUUUCAUCCUACCUAUCACUUCGUUCAUUCAAAAACAAAUCAUCGGUUCAUCACCACUAGGAAAAAACCGUAAAUCCAGGGUCUGGAUGCAACCUAAAUUUCUUAUAGAUGAUGGGAAGCGUAAGAGACUAGCAUAUUUAAAACUCAAGAACUUCAAGUGUACGAGGUUGCCUAUUGAUUUUGGUAAUUUUUCUCCCAGUGAAAGUCCCUCAAGACUUAACACUCUUAAUAAUGUGAACUUCUUCAGGUUCAACUUCCUCAGCAUCCAGUGUACUGUCACUUCUUUUGGUGGAGAGAAUAUUAGAAGAGAUCGGAGGGGUGUGCCAUUUUCUGGGUUCAAUUUGACAUAAAUAUUAGCAUCUUCAUCUUUAUUUUUGGAGACUGCUCUAGCCUCUGCAUCACUCUCUACAGGAAGAGAUUGAUCUAGAUAUAUGGCACGUCUUCGGACUUUAUCUAGAGUAGGUGUUGUUACCACAGAAGAUGAAAAUGUUUCCACUUGCUGAAAACCGAUAAUCUCAAGAAAAUUUUCUUCUUUUGCCUUUGACAAGCAUAAAUCUCGCAUUAGGUCAUGCAACUGGCAAGUUUUGACUCUUCCAUUUGAACCUGUUCUUCCUACUUGAACCAUACACCUUUGAAUGAGCUCAUCCAGAUACCCUUCUGCAACAUCCUCCAAUGUUUGUUCUCCCACCUUUGAUAUAAUCCCUUCAGCCACCCACAUUCGAACCAAACUUUUUGUUCGAAUUUCAUAGUCCUCGGGGAAAUGGGCUAAAUAGAGAAAGCAAGAUUUUAAGUGGUAUGACAAAUCUUGGAAACUUAAAGCUAACACAUCGGAGACUCCACUGUCUUGCUGCUUGUAAUUGUCUUUGCCUCUCAUCAAGUAUGAUUUAAUAUUUCUAUGAAUUCUCUCCCAAUCAUACAAUGUGUGGUUUGUAGCUAGAAGUCCUCCAAGCACAACAACAGCCAAUGGCAAACCUCCGCAAUAUCUAGCCAUUUCCUUUCCCACCUCCUCCAUGUUGUUAAUGGUAGGAUCUAAAAAAGUUCAAGAGAAAUUGAUUAGAAAUAUUCUGAUAAUCAACUAUUACCAAGAAAAAUAAAUUACUCAAGAAUUAGAAUUAUGCAAUUGCUUUGUGUAAAAGAAUAAGAAACUUAUAAUCAUGAAACUUUUCUUAGCCUUAAUGAAUAACUUGUUUUACAAGUCAUAGCAAUUAACUUAGAGUGUGUUUCACAGUAAUUUUUAGAAAUUUUUUUAAUCUUUUUAAUACUUGAAAAAUAAAAAUUUUCAAAUGUUAGAAAUGUUUUCUAAAAUUACUACCAAACAAACUCUUAGUUUCAAUAAAAUAAACUAAAAAAUUACCAAGCCAGAAUUUCCAAAAGCUUGAAAAAGUUCUAAGUUGAGCCAUGGACAUGAGCACUCAACCCAACCUAGUAGCUCAAAUUGGCCCCAUGUUUUACAGCCCUGGUUGCAAUUUAAUAAUUGUUGCUUUGACAUGUUUAGUCAUAAAAUCAAAUUGAAAAGGGAAACAGUAGAAAAUUUUGGGAGGAAAGGCUAAUGGAAACCUUAUGUUUUAGGGCCCCUGUUCCAAUUGACUUGUUGCUUUGACAACCUCAACCCUGUGGUUGUAGUUAUAAAAUCCAAUUGACAAGGGAUAGAAUAAUGAAAUACCUGUACCAUUAUCAUUUCUGAGGAAGGCUCUUCUCUGAAGAAGCUCCCAACUCUCUUCCUCAGUUAAACACUUUGGUUGGUACAAGAAGCCUUGUGGAUCCGCAUGUGAAGCCACCGCUUUGUUCCGGGUGGUGAGUAGUAUCUUGCUGCCUACCUUUUGCAGUGGAAAGGCAGGUCUUAGCAUGUCCCAAGCUUCUGUAGUCCACACAUCAUCCAGAAUCACCAGACAUUUCUUUUCCUCUUGUAUUCGAUAAACUCUCUUUAAUACCUCAUUUUCACCCAUCUUCUCAAUUUCCUUCCUCUGCUCUGGAGAAGGAGGCAUGAAUUUGAAUAAUAUUUCUUGUACAACCGCUCUGAUGUUGAAUUGUUGAGAUACGGAACUCCAAGCAAAACAAUCAAAAUGACGCCUAACAGCACCAUGAUGAUAAACCUUCUUUGCGAGAGUGGUUUUUCCCAGGCCCCCCAUACCCCAUAUCGACACAACUGAGCAUCUUUUGUCCGGGUCCACGAGCUGUUCCACCAAGAUCUUCACGUUUCCCUCCACUCCAACUGUGUCUUCAUCAACAACGUGGGAGUAAGACCGCCUGAGGAUACGUUGCCUCUCAUUUCUGGAACCGGAGCUUUCUCCUUCUCCUAUGCUCUUUAUGUUAUAGCUCUGUAAACUUGUACUGAGACUGGAGAUUCUGUUUUUUAUGGCAUCAAUCUCUGUCCCAACCUCAUGGAGUGCUUUAAAUUCUGAUAAGAUGCAAGCAUACCUCUUGAGGAUGUUUUGAAGGCCACUUCUCCUCCUCCUGGCAACCUUGAAGGCAAAAGUCUCUACAGUGUCUUCGGCAUCAUAUGCAGCCUCUCUAAUUUCAGCAACCAAAUUGCGAAUUGUCUCGUCCUCAUCUUGUCUUGCGUCUGCAUCUUUCAGAAAACAUGUCAUCCGCCUAAGCUCGACCUUAAUUUCUGCAACUUUGUCAGUCACCCCAUGCAAGAAACUUGCCUCUUGAAUCAACAGGUCACCUAGCCUUUCCACAGCAAAGGACACAAUAGCCUCCACCAUUUGUUUGCUGUUACUUGUUCCUACAAAGGAGAAAUGUUCAAAAGAUGAUCGCCUCUGCAAUCUCUUCUACACCUCCAUGACUGCAAAAAUGUAAAUCACCCUAUUUAAUUAUAUUUUUACAUAAUCUAGAGAAAAAAAUAAUUGCAUUUAUAUCCUUUGUAGUUUCUGAAAUUAAAAUGCACACUUUGUUAAACCUUCAACACCACCCUUCUCGUUAAAGUGAAGGUACUUGCAAGGGUGGGUUAAAAUCGGUUGACUCGAUCGAUAGUCCGAUUUGACUCAGGUGAAUCGUCUGAGUUACCGGGAUUUUCGAGUUAAACUCAAAAAUCAAAAUUUUUUCUUCCAAAUCACAACAAAAGAACAUCAAACCGCAACCAAAACUGAGAAAUUUCUGAAAAUCAGUGAUAUCUUAAAAAAAAAAAAAAAAUGUUUUUCAGAUGGAGAAAACAACUCAAUGAAGUCCUUGAAAAGUUUUUUAGUCCAAUCCGCGACGGUCUUUGAGAAUAAGAAGAGGUGGUUGAGAGCAUUUCAUCGCUAACCUCACAACGGAUGGACUGCAGCGCCUUGGUGUCAGCGGCGUGACUGUGGUGACUGCUGAGAAGCAUCGGAUCCCUCGUCCUCCAUUGCCGAUAAUUCUUCGGGAGAAUUGUGUUUUGGGCCCAAAAAUUAACAUUUAGUCCUCCAACCACUCAUAUUUAAACCCAAGACCCAAACAAAGUAUGAAAAUUAAGAUGAAGGAUAUUGUCUUUCAUUAAUUCCUAAAAUACUCUUAUCCCUUAUAUGCCUACAAGUGAGUGUAAAUUUUAAUUUUUUUGUGUUUUUUUCCUUUUCUAUUCCCUAUUAAAUAUUACUCAUUUCUAACUUUUUUUUCCUUUUUAUUCCAAUAUAUAUUUCUAUUUUAUGUCAAAUAAAAAACAAUAAUAUUUUUUUAUUUUUCAUUUUUAAAGAUAUUGAAUCUUUUUGCUCUUAUUAAAAGCAAUGAUAAAAAUUUUGGGAUUUUUCAUCCAAAUAUUUUUUAUCUUUUUGUAUUUAUCUUUUAGUUUAAUUUUUAUUUUUUAUUUUAAAUUUAUAUUACCCUUUCAUCUAUAUUUUUCUCUUAUUUUUAAUUAUUUUUUAUAUUUUCUACAUUAACCAUAUUUUUAAAAAUUUUAAAAUUAACUAUCACUUCACUUUAUUAUAUAUAUAUAUAUAUAUAUAUCUUUUUAGCUUUUUAAUUUUAAUCUUUUUAUUUUAAAAUUUUUAAAAAGAUAAAUUUGUUGAAAAAAAAAAACUAAGAUAUGAAGUUCUAAUAUUAAAUUAAUAAUUUUUCUUAUCUAGAUAGACUAAUGCAAAGUAUUUUGACCCACAACAAGAAAAUUGUCAAUACAAUUUUUUAGUUAAACUUUAAAAAUUAAGUUUCAAAUAAAAUAUAUUAUAUAAAAUUUUAUCUAAAAAUUAUUGAAAGUGUUAUUUAAUUUUUUUAUUUAUUGACUUUGAAACUUAUCUAAUUUUUUACUUGAAAGGUAAUAGAACAUGUUUACAAAAAAAAAAAAUUAGUUUUUCAUUUUUUAAAUAAAUGAGUAUAAAUAUAUUAAAAGAAUUAAAGAUAAUCUUAGUAAAAAUUUUGAUAAAUAUGAUUAUAAUUUUAAAUAUAGAUUCAUUUGGAUAAAAUUUCACAAAAAAAAAAAUAUAUAGUGAAAAGAAAUAACAUUGCUAAAACUACAAAAACAAAAUAUGUAAUUACAAAUUUUUUAUGAUGAAAUUUAAAAAUAAAAUUCGAAACAAUUCUUGAGUGAGAGAAUUUGAGUGGGGGAAAAAUCUUUGAGUGGAAAAAAAUAGGAAAUUUUUUCAAAAUCACUUGAAAUUCUUAACAAAAAGUAGUCUUGUAACCCUUGUACAAUUAAUAAAUUUGUCUUGUACGGUUAGUGUGAUACCUUGUACAAUAACUCAAAUAACUCAAAUUUUUAUUUCUUAUGUGUUAAUUGUUGCAAGGAAUGUCUUAAUGAAAUAGUUUGGUAAAAAAAAGAAAAAAAACUAUCAAUAAUCGUCUUAAUAUCAAAUUCAAGUUGUUUAAAAAUCGUACAAAACCUUUAAGAGCCUUGUACACCCUUGUACACUUAGCACAUUUCCCUUGUACAAUUAGUAUAAUACCCUUGUACAAUAACAUAUAUUUCAUAUUUAAACGUAUUUUCAAAAAGAGGCAAUAUAGAAAAUAAAAAUAAAAACUAGAAAAAUAUUUUAAAACCAAACUCAAAUAUAAUCUAUAUAAUUUUUAGUUACUUGUUUUCAUCUAAAAUAAGUAAAUAUACCUUUCAACCCUCUUAUAUAUAUAUAAAAAAUCAAUCUCUACUAUGUAUUAAUAUAAUCCACUUUUAAAAUUAGGUGAUAUGAAAACAUUUUAAUUGAGUACUUAAAAUAAAAACUCUCAAUUCAUCCUCAUUUUAAUUGAGUACUUAAAAUAAAAACUCUCAAUCCAUCCCCUUUCUUUAUUUUUCUUUUUCUCAUUUUAAUAAAUUUUCAAUUAAUUCAAAUCAUUAAAAAAAUCCUUAAUAAACAAAUUUGUAGCAUUUCAUAUGACUUAUUACUAAAGGUCAUAUUCAAAAAGUUGUUAAAAUAAGGAAGGAAGAAGAUUAAAAAAAAAAUUGAACUUUUUAUUUUAUAAUAGUAAAAAAAAACUUUAAAAUACUUUUUAGUAUAAAAAAAUAAAAUAUUGAAUAUAUUUAGUUUAAAUGGUAUUUUAAUCAUUAAAUUAUUUACUUUUAAAAUGUAAAAGAUAAAAAUAAAUAUAAAAGAUAAUUUUUAUUUAUUUAAAUUAAUAUUUUUUUAAAAAGUAUUUUCUAAAAUAGUCUUUGAAUCAUUAAUAUAAUUUUUGAUUAUUUAUAAUUUAAAAAUAAAAAAUAAUAUAAUUUUUCAAUUAUUUAUAAAAGAGUUUUAAAAAAAUGAAAAAUCAAAAAAUGGUUAAAUAAGAAAGAAAAGUGGCAAGUAGUAGAAUAAAGAUAAAAAUGAGUCAAAUGAGUAUUUUUGCCAAUUACUAUCUGUGGACUUAAAUAUGGGUGGUUGAAAGAUUAAAUAUUAAUUUUUGGGGCAGCUGGGCCAAAACACAAUUCUCCCUAAUUCUAAUUACAGGCGUAGUAGCACACUCAAUGAUGAAAGGCAAUAGAAAGUCAAAGUAGAAUAGAAAGCUGUCUCCAAUAAUACACUCUCUUUGAACACGCGGAGUCUACCACACACUCCAAUCAAACACAUAAAGAAGAAAGAGAAGGCCCUGCAAUUUGUACCAACCCUCAAUAAUGUCAGCAGACUCAGCACAGGAGCCACCCAUUAGCUAUCUUCGUUUCACUCACACCCGACCGGGCCCACCACUUUCACAUUUGCCUUUACAAGUGACGCAAUUAUUAAUUAAUAAUGAUUUUAAAAAAUAUUUUUAAUAUUUAAAAAAAUUUAUUAUUAUAAAUAUUAAAUACACUAUAUAAAAUCACUCUCAAAUACCUUAUAAACGGAUGAAAGUUUGAAUUUUGAAUUCUAAAUGAUCCAAAAUAUCAAAAUUAGAAUUUGAACUUUAAAAUAUUAUCCUAAUUGUCAAUUGAUUUCUACUCUUCUACUCCAAGCAUCUCUUUAGAAUUUGGACAUUUUUCAAAUGUUCUCUCCAACAGGACAGGGAAAAGAAAGGUGUAACAACUUGGGGGCUGCUAAAGUACAAUGAAACACAGCCCAUUUUGGUAAUUUCUUUGGGUGGGCAUCCAUUGCAAGCUACUUAUUAGAAAGUAUAUAAAAGUUUAAGAAGUUCCUAAAUUCAAAUAUUAGGAUUUGAUUUAGUUUAAGUAAUUAAGAUUAUAUUUGGAUACAUUUAUUGUAUUUUUGAGUUUUAAAAAUAAGUAGUAGGAACUCUUAAACAAAUAAUAGAGAUUGAUUUAAAAAAGAUAAUGAUUUUUAGAAAGGGUUUAAAAAAAUAGAAGUAUUAAAAACUUUUUACUUGGUCAAAUUUAAAAAUUUUGAUAAAAUUUUUUUAUAACAUAAACUAAGUCCCCAUUUUUUGUACAAGGGUUCCUAAAUUUUAUUUAGGAGAUGCUACUGGCAUGCUUCAUGUUUUCUUAUACUUGUUUUUAAAAACUAUUUUUUUAAGUUAAAAAACAAAAAAUAGUUGUUUAGUAUUUUCUAAGAAUGAGGGUGUUUAGCUAGUUAUCUUUUUUUAAAAAAAUUAAAAAAAUUGGAAAAUAAAAAACUUGUUUGGAUAAGUUUUAUUGAAAAAUAAUUUUUUAUUUGAUUUUGUAAAAAACAUUGUAUAUAAUAUUAAUUAAAUUUAAGUCAAGUUUUAUUAAAAAUAAAAAUACAAUGGUUAAAUGAAAAUACCUUCAAUUAAUUUUUUCAGGAUUCUAUGAGUGGCAAUUUUGAGAAAAAAAAAAAAAAAAGAGGAAAAAAGAAGUUUAAAUCUUGUGGUAGUAGAAGUUAAAUAAUCACAACCUCAUGUUAGGGGUUUAGUUCCUAGCAUAUUGCUUGCUAAUUCUAACAAGUGAAAUCAUGAAAACCUUUAACCUAUUACUAAUAUGUGAAGGGGCUCUUGGAGCAUUGAAGUCUCCUGAAAAUUCUUGAGUAAAUCUAUAGGAUGCUUGGUUGUUUGAAGCAUUAAGUUCAAUGCUUGAAAGCUUAUCUUAUUCAAUCUAUGUUUUGCUUGAAAGACCUUUGUUGGGGCAUUGUAUGGAUGGGUCUUGCUAGUGUGGUUUUGACUCUUUCCUUUUUGGGCUUUUGUUUCCAUUGGUAUGCUUCCUGUGUACUAGGAAAUCAAGGAUGGUUGACACUUAUUAAUUAAAUCUCUAUUGGGAUUAUUAAUAUGUUUCAUGAAAGAGUGAAAAUGUGUUUUUUUCUCGUAAGAGGGCUAUUUGCCCUAGAACUCGGCCAAGCCUUUUGGCUGACAUCUUCACAAGCCCUUUUUCUCUUCCAACCCCUACUGCAUGUCCAGAUGCGGAGAAAACAGGAGUCACGCUCUCCCCCUUUUUUCAGUGUUUCAAUGGCGGUUCUCAAGUGGGGCAGCGUUGAUUUGCGGAUUUCUCCAACCAUGUUAGUGGAAGAAGCUUCAGGGAUGGCAGUGAAGAAUGAAUAUGAUUGGCAGUGGCGUUGUACCAGGUCAGUGUUGCCAUCUUUGGUAGGUUUAAACUAUUGGGAGGGAAAGGGAAAGAACGGAGUAAAAGAAAAGGUAAAGGUGGGGACAUUGAAUAGGAGGACAGUACAACUAGGUCGAUUCUACUCUGUACAAUCCUUGAGGUAUGCUUCUGUCUUUUGGUAAUUGGAAUGCAAGCGCCUUGACCCACAAACCAUUGACAUGUUGAUGAUAUAUAUUGUGAGCUCAAACUUAAGCUUUUAGGAAAAUCGGUUGUAGAACAUGGUAUCUGAGCUUUGUUUGGCGAGAGGUUAUGUGUUGGAGCCGCCUCUGCAACUUGCAUUUCGCCCCUGUGUUGGGCCCAGUUCAACAUUCCAAUGGUUGACAUCAUAUAUGCAAGCUAAAUUGUUAUAUGGGGCGAGAGACAUGGUUGAAGAAGGUUGAAGAAUUGCAUCUUUUCCAAAGCUAUACUACUCCUAAAGGUUGGAGACAGGUCCAGGUGCAAAAAAUUAGUAUUAGUAUUUGUAGCCUCACUAUGCGUUUGGAGAAUUUAUGCCAGAUAAAAGUCUGGCAUAGAUCAGCCCACAAAGUGCCCAGUCCAAGGCAUUUCUAAAAUGGGGCGUGCUUUGUUACACUCUUUGAGUUGUUAGGAAUCUUUUCCUUUCCUGCUGCUGCUGCAGAGAAUAUUUGAAAGAAGUAGAAUUGGAUGUAAACAGAUCCUUUGAGUGGAAGAGGAGAAAGCAAUUGCCAAUCCUCUAUCUAGAACACUCAAUAACACAAGGGAACACUUACAAGCUUUCCCCCGGAGCAGAGAAUAUUUGGAAAAAGUAGACUUGGAUGGAGAGAUCCUUUGGGUAGAAGUGUGGAAAAUCAAUUGCUUAUAUCCCCAAGCAAAGAAGUGAUUCUUCUAUCCACAACAUUCAAAAACACAAAAAAAGACCUGUAAAUUUAUCAUCCAUUCAAAUUAAGAGCCAAAACAGGUUUUUCUGUGAAUGACAGAGAAGAAAAAUGGCAGAGGCUAUUGUGUCCUUUGCUGUGGGAAGGCUAGGUGACUUGUUAAUCCAAGAAGCAAGUUUCUUACAUGAGGUGAGUGACAAAGUUGUGGAAAUUCGGACUGAGCUGAAGCGGAUGCAGUGUUUUUUGAAAGAUGCAGAUGCAAGACAAGAUGAAAAUGAGGUUAUUCACAAUUGCGUUGUGGAAAUUAGAGAGGCUGCUUACGAUGCUGAAGACAUCAUAGAGACCUUUGCCUCCAGAGUUGCCCUGAGGAGGAGGAGAAGCAGUCCCCAAAACAUCUUCAAGAGGUGUGGUUGGAUCUUCUUUGAAUUUAUAGCACGCCAGAAGGUUGGGACAGAAAUUGAUGCCAUUAAAAAAAGGGUCUCCAAUCUCACUACAAGCUUACAAAAGUCUGACAUAAGGAGCAUUACAGAGGGAGAAAGCUCAAGUUCCAGAAAUGAGAGGCCACAACAGGGUAGGCCUACUUACUCCCACCUUGAUGAUAAAGAUAUCAUUGGGGUGGAAGAAAGUGUGAAGAUUUUGGUGGAACAGCUGGUGGAACCAGACAGGAAAUGGUCAGUUGUGGCCAUAUAUGGUAUGGGGGGUCUGGGAAAGACCACUCUUGCUCGGAAGGUUUAUCAUCAUGUCCAUGUUAAGCAUCAUUUUGACCAUUUUGCUUGGAGUUCCAUAUCUCAACACUUGGACAGCAGGGCUGUUGUAAGAGGAAUACUGAUCAAAUUGACAUCUCCUUCUGAAGAGCAAAGACGGGAAAUUGACAACAUGAGUGAUGACGAGCUAUUCAAGAGAGUGUAUAAAAUUCAAAAGGAAAAGAAAUGUCUAGUGAUUCUUGAUGAUGUGUGGAGAAAACAAGAUUGGGACAGUCUAAGACCUGGCUUUCCACUGCGAAAGGAGGGCAGCAAGAUAGUGAUCACCACUCGGAACAAAGCUGUGGCUUUACAUGUGGAUCCACCAAAUGUCUUUUUGCACCAACCGAGGUUAUUAACUGAGAAGGAGAGUUGGGAGCUUCUACAGAUGAAGGCACUCUCUACAGGUAUUUUUUAUCCAUCUCCAAAAUGUCACUAUUGGUUUUCAGAUUCCAAAUUUUGUUAUUUUUAUUAGGCUUUCUCAACAUAACAAUACUCCGUUUGGGAUAUCAAAAAAUAAUAAUAAUAAUAAUAAUAUAAGUGGAAGUCAGUAUUAUUGCAAUUGAUUUUGCAUACUCUAGAAUACUUUAUUAAAGAUAUAAGGUCAAUUGCAAUAUUUUGAAAAUUUUAUUAAAUAGAAAUCUAUUUUGGCCAUUUAGGUACUAUUUUAAUUUUUUGCUUUUAGCAAUAGAAAAAAAGAGAAGUAAUUCCUACUACAAAACCGUUGAUUCCAUGCUUAGGAAGCAUAUUCUAUUUUUUUUUUAAUAGGAGAAGAACAAUUUUAACUUUUAUUUUUUAUUUUUUAUUUUUGAUAGGUAAACAUUUUAAAAAUUAGUUAAAUAGCUGUUUGUGUUCACCAAACAGUAAGUCCCUUUCUUUUUUUCAAUGUGUGGGAAAAUCAGAUUAAAAAAAAAAAUGUCAUCCAUGUUUGAGAGUUGUUUUCAAAGAUCGUACUUGACUUUCAAAAUAUUAUCUUUUAGUAGUUUAGAAGCUCCUCCAAACAAUGUUUAGAUAUUUUUCCAAAAAUAAAUAAAUCAUGUUAGAAGUAUGGGACCCCAAGUUUAGCUCCAAACAUUCCAUUUAGAAGCUUUUCUAAAAGGGCCUACAUAUAGUUGUCAAGUUGCAAUUAGGUCUACACUUUUAGCAGUUUAACCUAACCCAACUCGACUCAAUACAAAUUAAAUUUUAGUCAAGACUUAUGUAUUUUGCAUUUUAUUUUAAAGCUUUUGGUUCAUUCUAUUGUUGGUAGCAUAUGAUUGUAGUUGUGAAGAUGAAUGAGCAAAUGGAUGUCAUAAAUUUACAUAUUACCAUAUUAACAUGUUUAAGUUCUAGAAUUCUAGUCAAAUGAAUUUUAUCUGUUGUUUUUAAUUUGUUGAAUAUGAGUUGUUUGGUAAAAGAUUUAGUGAAAUAGAUCUUAUAGAUCAUUUUGGUCAUUCAUUCUUACCCAAAAUUCCAUCUACAGUCUUUAAUUUCCUGAAUAUGCGUUGGUUGGUAAAAGAUUAAGUGAAAUGGAUGUUAUGCUUAUAUAAUAGUUAGGUUAAUUUUGAUGUAUCUUAUAAUUCAUUUUGGUCAUUUAUUCUUACAUCAGUUAGAAUUUUGAUGGUCAAUGAUUAAUAAAAAUAUGUCAAAAGAUUGAUUUAAUGUGGGUUUAAUCAAUAGUCUAAUCCUUAUUAAAUGUAUAUAAAAUUUGUUUACUUGUUUUUGGACUCAUCACAACCAAAUACAACCUGAUUUUAUAACCAACCCAAAUUACUCAACUCAUCUGACUUGCAUUAUAUUAAUCGAUUUGAGUCUAACUUGAUUCCAACCCAAGUUUGAAAAAAUAGCUUAGAUUGAGCUUAAAUUGGGAAGCGGUGAACAUUGGUUUGGGUUGAGUUUUGGGAAAAUGAGCUUCAUGUUUAAAUUGAGCUUGAGCUGAGUGUUAACCUAAUCCAUAGGACCUCAAAUUUGACCCUUACUUUUAAGUAAAAGAGAAAUUAAUUUGUGCCUUAGGUUGGCUUGGUAGCUCAAGUCCAUGUGACUUUGGAUUUUUGGCUAGGUAGGCGUCUCAUUUAUUUAUUAAAACUAUAUAAUUUUGUUAUUAUUGUUGUAAGAUUAUUAAAUUACCAUAUCAGUAAGGGUACACAUAUAUCAACCGAAAAUUAAUGUAUUUAGAAGAUUACAAAUUAUGAUUUUGUAUAAGAUAAGUCAUUCAUAAUCAAUGAUUAUCUGUAAAUAUCAAAUGAUAUGAGCUAUGGUGGGUAUGAUUUCCUUUUUCACAACAAGUGGUUACAUUAUUAACAUCUUUUUUAAGUAAUGUGCUCUUUAUAUUAUUUAUUACAAUAUUCACAAUGAAUGUUUCAUGAAUUUGUAGGUUCUACCCUUAACAAGGAUAUGGAGGAGCUAGGAAAGAAAAUGGCUAAACGUUGUAAUGGGUUGCCUUUGGCAAUUGUUGUGCUUGGAGGACUUUUGGCCACUAAACCCUGCACAUUCAAUGCCUGGGGAAUAGUAGAUCGAAAUAUUAAAUCAUACUUUAGAAGAGGUGAUGGCAAUUCCAAGCAACAAAGUAGUGAAGUGUCAGAUGUGUUAGCUUUAAGUUACCGAGAUUUGCCAUACCAUUUAAAACCUUGCUUCCUCUAUUUGGCUCAUUUCCAUGAGAACUAUAAAAUACCAACAAAUACUUUGGUUCGGAUGUGGAUGGCUGAAGGAAUCAUACCUGAAAUGCCUGACAAAGGGGUGGGAGAAGAAACAAUGGAGGAUGUUGGACAUCAGUAUCUAGAUGAGCUAAUUGGAAGGUGUAUGGUUCAAGUGGGAGUAAGAAAUUCAAAUGGAAGAGUCAAAACUUGCUGGUUGCAUGAUCUUAUGCGAGAUCUAUGUUUGUCAAUAGCCAAAGAAGAAAAUUUUCUUGAUAUUAUCAAUCUUCAGCAAGUGGAGACAUUUUCAUCUUCUAUGGUAACAGCAUCCACUUCAAAUAAAGUCCGAAGAUGUGCCAUUUAUCUGGAUCAAUCCGUUCCUAUAGAGAAUGUAGCAAAGGCAAGACUAGUCCCUGAAAAUAGAGAUGACGAUGUUAACAACUAUGUCAAUUUUAACCCAGAAAAUGCUACACACCUCCGAUCUCUUCUAAUAUUCUAUCCAUCAACACCAAAUACAGUUCAUUGGAUGCUGAGGAAGCUGAGCUUGAAGAACUUCAAAUUAUUAAGAGUAUUGAGUCUUGAGAGACUUUCACUGGAAGAAAAAUUACUAAGAGAAAUAGGCAACCUCAUACACCUGAAGUAUUUGAGUUUCAGGGAUGCUAAGCUGUUAAGCUUCCCAUCAUCUAUAAAAAAUUUAGGUUGCAUCCAGACGUUGGAUUUACGGUUUUGUAAUGAUGAUAACCUUGUAACUUGUACUAAAAUAGGUGAUGUGAUAUGUAUGAUGAAAUUACUAAGACACCUCUACCUUCCUAGAUAUCUUUAUGUGGGUACUAGUAAGGUGCAAUGGGACAAAUUGAGCAACUUGGAGACGCUAAAAGCCUUUGAUGCAAGACAAUGGGCUGUAAAAGAUUUGGUCCAAUUGACCAAGCUUCGGAAAUUGAAGAUAAAUAAUCUCAACAGCUUUAAAGAGUUGGAGGUAAUUCUCAAGCCCCCCUGUCCUUUUUCACUUCAUUCCCUGGUUUUGGAUGAGGUGAGCACCAAAAUGGAAGAAACGGAUCUAAGGCAAUUAUCAAUGUGUCGACAUCUUUAUGAGCUAUUCUUGGGAGGAGAAAUAAGCAACUUGCCCGGGCACGGCCACUUCCCUUCAAACCUCACUAAGUUAACCUUGUCUUAUUCUCUCUUAAAACAAGAUCCCAUACCGAUUCUGGAGAGGCUUCCUUACUUGACAAUCCUACGCUUAUUUAAUUCAUAUGAUGGGGAAGAAAUGGUUUUCUCUGGAACUGGGUUCCCUCAACUCAAAUAUCUGCAACUCUCCUAUAUUGAAUUCUUAAAAAGGUUAAGGGUGUGUAAAGGUGCAAUGCCUAGUCUAGUGAGUUUAACAAUCCAUAGCUGCAUGUCAUUGGAAGCGGUUCCUGAAGGACUGAUACACAUCACUACCCUUAACGAAUUGAAGUUUGAGUAUAUGCCCAUAGAGUUCAUGGAGAGGCUUCAAGUGAUACGUGGAAAAGAAGGGGAGGAUUUCUACAAAGUCAAGCACUUGCCUUCCAUCGCAUUCAGUGCAAUAUCUGGUAACCCAUUUUUAUACAUACAACUUCUAAUUGCAGAAUCUCACUCUGUCCAAAAAUUAUUUCUGGUUAUUCUGUUUGUUUAUUUAAACUUCUCUCGUCAACUGGCUGCCUAAAUACAGAAUUAAAAAAAAAAAGAUUAAAUGUAGGUGUUUUUGAAUUUGAUUGUUUGAUUGAUUGUAAACUCCACAAACAAUGGAUCAAUCUCUGUAUGUUUGCACUAAAGGCACAUGUUAUAAAGAUAUUGAACUAUUUAUGGAAUUACACACAGGUCUGUUGCAUGACAAAAAACAGCUUGCUUUCCUUUGACCCUUGUAUUUCAAUGUUCUGUUAUUGGCAGAAAUUGAGAUGAAAGUGACAACAUACUCGAUCUUCUGAAGAAGCAACUUACUACUUGUUACAAAUGCAUGGCCAAAACAUAAUGCCAUUCCAAUUUUGUGAAAGCAGCUAAUCAAAAUCAUGAAUUUGGACAGUAGAACUGAUGAGAGAUUGCUAUUUGAUGCAGAGGAUGAUGUUUAUCAAAUGCUUAUGAAGAUCUUAAAUAGUGAUCCAAGUGACAACAUGAAGAUUCUAAAGGCACUUAUAAAUGCCGAGGACGAUCAGUUGCCACUUCUUGAUGGCUCUACAAAUAGAAGGGUUUGCUCUCCAAGCACAUUACUGCAUCACCAGUGCACUUCAUAGUCAUAUAUAAACAAAUUACUAAAUACUACUUUUAGUAACAGUUUACACUCAGAAUUGAAGUUUUAAUAUACUCUUUCUUUAUAUAUAUAUAUAUAUAUAUAUAUAUAUUUCAUUUUGUUUUGUUUUUGUUUUCUUUUUUCUUUUUUCUUUUUUUGGGGUGCAAAACAGGUAAAAUUGGAGGUGCUGAAGGGGAAGAAUGUGUUUCUGCUCAUAUCAGGCCUAGACUUUCCCACUGAGGAUCUCUUACUUCUCAAACAUAUUCACAAGGAAUUCUGUUUGGAGCGGAGUUUGAUACAUAGGCGGCAUGAGUUUAUGUGGAUCCCAAUUGUGGAUCAUUCUUUUAAGUGGAAAGAUUCUCAGCAGCAAGAGAUGUUUGAGUGUCUGCAGGCCUCAAUGCCAUGGUAUUCGGUCUGCACUCCUGCACGCAUUGAUAAGGCAAUCAUCAGGUUCAUCAAGGAGGAGUGGCACUUCCAGAAUAAGCCCAUCCUUGUGGUGCUAGAUUCACAAGGAAAAGUGAUGAACCGUAAUGCUAUUCACAUGAUGCGGAUAUGGGAGGACACCGGCUACCCAUUCACCAGUUCGAAAGAGAAAGCUCUGUGGGGGGCAGAGACUUGGGGGCUUGAGCUGCUGGUUCAUGACGUACACCCAACCAUACAGAACUGGGUAAUUAUCCACCUUUACUAAUCUAAACACACAGUUACUUGAGUAUGAAUAACUUCACUUAUACCUAUUUGAGACCAAUCUCAAACAAUUUUUUGGGACAUUGGGAAUUUUAUUUUAUUUUAUUUUAUUUUUUGUUUCAUCAGAUCAAAAAGGGAAAAUUCAUUUGCUUGUAUGGAGGGACUGACAUGAAGUGGAUCCAAACAUUCACAACCGUAGCAAAGGAAGUUGCGUCAGCUGAGCGGAUCCCCUUAGAAAUGGUGUACGUGGGAAAGAGCAACGUGGGAAAGAGCAACCACAGAGAGCGAGUCCUACAAUGCAUAGCAUUCAUCAGUAUGAAGGAACUGAGCCACUGGUGGUCAGACCGCACCAUGGUCUGGUUCUGGAGCCGGCUGGAGAGCAUGUUAUUCUCCAAGAUCCAGCUAGGAAGGGAGGACGAGAAGGACCCCAUGUUGGAGGAAAUCAAGAAACUGCUCAGCUACGACAAGGAAGGAGGAUGGGCUAUGCUCAGCAAGGGAUCCUCGCCAAUUUUCAGUGGUUCCAGCGCCACUGUUUUGCCUACCUUCUUGGCGUACCAUGCAUGGAAAGAGCAGGUCCCGACGAAGGGUUUUGAUCAGGCAGUCAUGGAUUACCAUGACCAGCUUCGCAACGAUUCUGAUUACCCGAAGUUUGAUUUUAUUGAUAUUGAAUGAAAUCUUGUAUAUAUUUUUAAAAUCCAUUUAUAAAUACUAAGUAAUUUAAAAAUGAAUAAUCUUUUUACUAAGUUUAAAUAAAUUUAAAAAAGAAGAAAGAAAACCACCUUCAAACCAAUUAAACAGAGUAUCCUGAAACACUAUAAAGUAUACACCGAUAACCAAACAGGCCCCUGGAAGAGCAGCCUUUAGCCUUUCUCCCUCUCAUCUGCAGAAGCUCUUUUCCUCUUCCAACAAUGACAAGAUGUGCAGAUUUGAAGUAAAAAUUUUGUCAAUUGGAUUUGUAUAACUACAACAACAUGGUUGAGGUUGCCAAAGCAACAAGUCAAUAAUUGAACUCCCCAUGGCGUCACCGGCGUGGAUGUGCGCCACAGAGGAAGCUCCCUGCUUCUGCCAAACCAGGUGCUCCUCUCUGUGUCUCUCUUGCUGGUGUGGGUUGGUGUCCGAGAAUUGGGUUUGUUUUUAAUUUCAAUAUUAAUAACAAUUCUAAUUUUCAUAAAGUUAUAUAUAUAUAUAUAUAUAUAUAUAUAUAUAGAAGUUGAAAAGCUUAUAUUGAAUUUUUGAAAUAACUCACAUUAAAGGUGUGGUUUUUAACCUUUUAAAGUAUUAAAAAUAUUAAAAGUUUUUUCUAAAAUCACUAUAAAACGAGUUAUAAGAGUUUUUUUUAUAAUGAUUCUAAGAAGCAUUUUUUAACUUUUUUAAUAUUUGAAAAUUUUUAUCAUUCGAAUAUUAAAAAAACUAUAAAUAUUUCCUAAAUUCCCUAUCAAAUGCACUCUAAAUUUAAAUUUUGACCUUCCUCAUCCCACAUCAAAAAUCUAAGGAAAUUAAAACAAGUUUAUAAGCCUCAUUCAAUCACAAUAAAUCAACUGACCUUUGGGUCAUGAUAGGUAGUGCGUGGAGUGGUCCGUAAACAGUAGCCCACCUUGCGCCUGUAAAGUUCUUUUCUAAGAAAUUUGAAUUUUGUGGAUUAUAAAGUUGAUAGGAAUUAUUUUUUUUUUCUUUUGAGUCUAAAUGACCCAAAAUAUCAAAACUCAAACUUUGGAUUUUAAAAUAUUAUCAUAAUUGGUUCUUAUCUCUCAUCCCAUUUUGUGCCAGCAGCCGCCACUGCUGAGAAGAAGAAAUUUCCAGGUAUGAAGAUGAUUUUAGAAAGAUGGAGGUUUUUUCAUCUUUUGGAUAAAUAUAUGGAAGCAAAAAAAUAAUGCAAGAAAUCAGAGCCAAAAAAAGGGACUAAUUGGUUGCCUUUACAUCAUGAUAAAAGUGUGGAUUAAGGCUCAAUUUAAAAAGUGUUUUAAGAGAUAAUUCAGAAAAAAAAUUUUAGAAAUUGUUUUUUGAAAAUUGUUCUCAAAAUAAUAGUUUGUUUAAGAGUUGAAAAGUUUUUAAUCUGUUUUCUAUAUUUUUAAAUAUGUAUUUUUUUAAAAAAUAAUUUUAUAUUUGUAUAACUAUUGUUUAAAAUUGUUUUUAGAAAAUAAGUUGUUAAAAAAAUUAGGUUAAUCUGAUAUAUGGUAAUCACCCUAAAAGGGGGUGAAUAAGGUGAUGGUUUCUUUUUGCAAAUUUAAACUAUAUGAAUAUAAGAGAUAAUUAUAUGUAAAUAUAUAAUAAACAAUAUAAAGACAAUUGUACAUAAAUUAAAAGAGUAGGGAAGAGAGAAUGCAAACACAAGAUUUUAUAGUGGUUCGACGCAACCCGGCCUACAUCCACUCUCCUUUAGUUUCAAUCCCAAACUUGAGGUUCCACUAAUUCAAGGCUUUCAAAUCAAGCCUUCAACCAAUACAAUUGAAUUAUGGUUCCAAUUCACCUUUUUGGACUUUUGGUUCUAAGCACCCUUUACAUUUUUUAAGAGAUAUCCCACUCUUGAACAACCCCUCAAGUGAUACCCCACACUUGAGAAACUUCCUCUCAAAGAUUUACAAAUAAAUGAUUUCAUAAUAUUUUAGUACAAAAACUUUAAACUCAAAAGAUACAAUUUAAAAUUAGGAUUGAAUGGUGCAUUAAAGAUAUGCAAGUUUUAGAACAAUGGUGCACUCAAAAACACUCUUCCAAGGUUCAAAUAUAUUCAAGAAAGGUUUGGGAAGUUAAGUUUAUGAAACAAUAAAGAUUGAAACCUUUUUAUAGAAAAAAAAAAAAAAGUCAAACUAGCUAUUGGGGGUUCAACCGGUCGAGUUGAGGGUCGACUGGUUGACUAGCCAUUAGCAUUUAAUGCUUGGCAGGUGACCGUUGGACCUCAACCGAACCUCAACUGGACCUUAAUCGGUUGAACAACCAUUCUGGAAGAAAGAAAAAUUUUUGUGCACCCUCGACCGGUUGAGCUGGGGGUCGAUCGGAACUAUUCAUCCGGUUUAACCAGUUGAGCCAUUUUUGGCUCAACAACCAACUUUUUCAACUUAAAACCGUUUAAACAAGUUUGAAAAACAUUUGACACAAGAUUUUAAUUGAAAACAUGAAAUCAUCCAAUUUUAAAAAUAUUUAAAAUAAAAUAACUUUUGGAUGAUUUCGAUACAUAAGUAAAGAAUGUAAUGUAUGAAAAUCCUAGUACACCAACAACCUUACAAAGAAAUCUUAUGAAGCUUGGGUCUUAAAAAACACUUCUCCUUGAGGUGAUCUUCUUCUUCAUGAUUUUUCUUUGGUUUGAUUUGUCUUUGUGAUUGCCACUUUGGAAAUCGUCUUACCUAAUCACACUUAAAAUAUAAUCAUUAGUUUUAAACCUUAUUUUGUUAUCAUCAAAACCGAUAUUAACCAAACAUUGGUUUCACAUAAGUGAAAAUAACCAAUGUUUUGAAAAUUGAACAAUCAUUGAACCAAAAAAAUUUUAAAUUUAUUGGUUUGUCAGAUUGGUGAUCGAACUAUGAUGGAACUAGUGAUAUCAUAAAUAUAUAGUUUAUAUUUUAUUAAAAUUAAAAAUAAUUAUAAAUAUUUAAAAUAUGUAUAAAUAAACUUAAAAUCAAUAAUAUUUAUUUUUCAUGUUUAUAUAUAUAUAAAUUCAAAGUAUGUAUAUAGAGGAUUUAAAUAAUUCAAACUUUAUCCUAAUUCUCUAUUGAGGAUAAGCAAUAGGGUAAGUGAAACAAACUUAAAUAUAGAAUUGGAGGCUCUCUCCAAUAAUACACAUGGAAUCUGGCACACUCAAAUCAAACAAAAGGAUGGAACCCCUUUGCACAUGGGAAUCUGGAACACUCAAAUCAUGCAAAAGGAUGGAACAUGAGGCCGGCAAGAGGGGUCUGCAGUUGGCACCAACCCUCAGCAAGGUCAGCACAGCACCGGCAUAUAUAAAAUAUAUUUUCAGAAAUGAUUUUUUAAAUCCUAUCUUCGAAAAUGUUUCCAAACAAAACCUUGCUUUCUCAAAUUCCUUCAACUCUUUCUCAAUUUCCCCAAUGAUCAACAUCACAAAUCUCCCACAUUCAAUCUUCUCUUUCAACCUCCCUAGAUUGAAUUAAACUAGUUAAUCAUAUUUUUAGAACAAAGAAAAACCCACUGUUUGAGUGGCCGCUGGAUUCAUUACUUUCUGAAAAUAUUUUAUGUUUAAAGAACAAAGAAACAAGGGGAAAUAUUAUUGAAAUAUCCAAUUUUCUUCUACACAACAUAUAGACAAUAACAAAAGGGCACAAUGAGGACCAAUAGAAACACAAUCCCAGAUUUAUUAGUCACAAACAAGGCCAACACACCAAUUAAAAAGAAAAAAAAAUCACAGGAAUAUUGUCUUGAGAUCACAGAAAGUCAAAUUGCAUCUAGUACCACACUUCUUCUGCUUGAUAAAAUAGGAUGUAUAACAUGAGCCGUCACUCACAAGUACAGCAACUCCCAUGUAUCAUUACUUCUUCAUAAUCUACCCCCUUGAUGGAGUCCAUGAGCAAGUUUGUCUUGGAAGAUUGCUGCUUGUCUUGAGGGACCUAGCAAAUAAACACAAAAUCAUUAGUAGAAGCACUUCUUAAAUUAUCCACCAAGAACAUAACAUUUCUGAUAAGUCAACACACCAAUCUUAUAGAAAAAUUCAUAGGAAUAUUGUGUUCAGAUCACAAUAAGUUUAAUUUCAUGUUGUAGUACUCUCACUAUAGUUCACAAACAAUGUUCUAAUUAGGCUAACUGCUUACAAGUAACAACUCACAUUUAGCUUUACUUCAUCGGUAAGUCUGUCUUCAGUGGUUGUUGCUUUCCUUUAGCCUUUAGGUACCUGGUAAUUAAACAUAAAAUCAUGGUUAGAUGCACCUCUCAAAUCAUCUGCACAGAACAUUGAUAUACUAGGGUCAAAUGAAAUGAAGAAGUUGAUGUCAUCCUUUUUUUUUUCUUUUUUAAACAAAUAAAUUUAUUAAAAAGCAGUGUGAAUAUUGGUUGAGAAGGCAAAUACUUAUUUUUCAUAUCAUGCAUAGAACUAUGAGCAAUUCCAUAACUAGGUCAAUCUGUGAUAAAACCAUGUUCUUUUGGUGCAAAGAAAAGGAUCUUGAAUAAUUUAUAAAAAAAAAAAAAAAAUUGAUGUGUUUAUGUAUAUAGAAAGAAACAUGAAAAGGCGCAAAUGAGUUUCCAAACACUUUCACCAAAUGAUUGAGAUGGCGCAAGUCUCUUUACGAAUUUUCUAGGCAUAUUCUGAAUCAGCAAGACCUUAAGGGUAGUAAUGUACCUUAGUCCUUCAGGAACCAUACUCCAAUACUUAAAUCCUUAAGACUAGGCAUUGCACCUUUAUUCACCCUCAACCUUUUCAAGCGGGGGGCAUCAUAGAGAGUCAGAUGUUUGAGUUGAGGGAAACCAUCGUAUGCAACAUUCAAUAAUCGAAGGAUUGUCAACUUAACAAGUCUCUCCAAAAUUCCUAUUAGAUCUUCAUUUAGUUGAGAAUACUUCAAGGUUAACUUGGUGAGGUUUGGAGGGAAGUGGUGGUGCGUAGGCAAGUUGCUUAUUUUUCGAUUCAGGUGUAAUUUAUCAAGUUGUUUACAUGUCGACGAUUGCAUUACAUCUGUUUCUUCCCUUUCAGUGCCUACAUUGAUCAAAACCAAGGAACAAAGAUGACUGGAAAUGGGACAAGAGAGUUUGAGGAUUACCUCCACUCUUUGAAGCUUUUGAGAUCAAUCAUCUUCACUUUACGAAGCUUGGUCAAUUGUGCCAAAUCUUUUACGACCCACUUUCUUGCAUUGAAGUUUGCUAGUGUCCCCAAGUUGCUAAGAUUGUCCCAUAGCACUCUACCAUUAUGAAUAUUUAUGGGAACGUAGUUGGUUUCAGGAAGGUAGAGGUGUCUCGGCCAUUUCAUCCUGCAUUUCACAUCAUGUAUUCUCCAACAAGUUAGGGCAAUGUGAAACUGUAAAUCCAGUGUCGCAUGCACCCCAAAUUGCCUACAGAUGAUGGGAAGCAGAACAGCCAAGGUUCUUUCAAACUCAAGUAUUUCAAGUGUAUAAGGUUGCCUACUGCUCUUAUUAAUUUUUCUUCCAAAACAAGUCCCUCGAGAUUUAACACUCUUAAUAAUCUGAAGUCCUUGAAGUCCAAUUCCCUCAGCAUCCAGUGGACUACAUUUGGUUGGCAACUGAAUGUUAGAAAAGACCGAAGGUGGGUAUCAUUUUCUAUAUUCAAAUUGACAUACCUAUUAGCAUGCUCAUCUCUAUUUUUAAAAACUGAUGUAGCCUCUGCUAGACACUCCACAGGAACACCUUGAUCCAAAUUUAUGGCUCGUCUUCGGACUUUCUUUAGAGUGGUUGCUGUUACCAGAGGAUGAAAUGGUUUCCUCUUGCAGAAGAUUGGUAAUCUCAAGAAGAGUUUCUUCUCUUGCUUUUAGCAAGCACAAAUCUCGCAUAAGGUCAUGGAGGAGACAACUUUUCCAUUUGAACUCCUUGCUCCCACUUGAACCAUACACCUCCCAAUUGGCUCAUCCAAAUAUGCUUCUGCAACAUCCUCCAAUGUUUCUUCUCCCAUCUCUUUUUAAGGUAUGCCUGGUAUAAUUCCUUCAGCGACCCACAUUUGGACCGAAGUAUCAACUAGUAUUUAAUUCAUAAUCCUCAGGAAAAUGGCCCAAAGAAAGGAAACAUGGUUUUAAGUGGCAUGACAAAUCUUGGUAACUUAAAGCCAACACAUCUGACACUCCUUUGCCUUCUUGCUCAUUGCCUUUGCCUCUCAAGCAUGACUCAACAUUUCUAUGCCCCAUCUCCCAUUCAUAGAAUGUGUGUUUUGUAGCCAGAAGCCCUCCAAGCACAACGACAGCUAAUGACAACCCCCCAUAAUAUUUAGUCAUUUCCUUUCCCAGCUCUUCCAUGUUCCUGUUAAUGAUAGGAUCUACAAAUUCAAGAAGAGAUUCAUUAGGAUUUAGGAAUAUUCUGAGAAAUAUUAUAAGAAAAAUGAAUUACCUAAGAAUCACAAUAUUGUAAUAUGCAGAACUUAUUAUGCAAUUCAGAACAUGUUGUGAUUUAUGAACUGAUUUAAGGUAAAAUAAAAAAUACAAAAUACAAACAAUAAUAUACUAAAAUGGGCAAAAUUUAAGAAAUAACUUGCAUAAAAAGGAAAAGUGUUCCUUUAAUUUUAAAAUGCAAAUUUUGAAGCUAGUUUUAAAAUCAAAUUUCUUUGUUUCAAAAAUCUUUUAUUGAUGCUUUAUUUUGAAACGUCCAAGUGAACCAAUCAUUUCAUCUUAUGUGUUCAAUUUGUGAUGAUAUGUGAGAUUCAUCGUAGCAUGAGCAAUUAUAGUGUUACAACGCCACUGCCAAUCAUGGCCAUACUUCACCGCCAUCCCUUAAGCUUCUUCCACCACCAUGGUUGGAGAAUCCCUCAAAUCAACGCUGCCCCACUUCAGAACCUCCAUUGAAGCACCGUAAAAAAAGGAAUUUAAAAAAUAAUUAUUAUUAUUACAUUAAUUAAUUUUUAUUUAUUAUUUUAUCCUAGCAUUGAUUUUAGAAAUACUUGGCUCCAAAAGAAAAAUAUAAUCCCACUCACUCCCUGAAACUUGUAAAUGUGAUAGAAAUGGAUGGAGAGCAUUUCUAGCAAAUAAAUAAAGGUUAUUUGUUUUAUUCGCGAAAUAUUUUCAUAUAAUUAAUUUAUAUUUAUAAUUAAUUUAUCCUUCAAAUUAAAUUUUUUAUUAACUUGGGUAGAAAGGGGAGGAGGAGAAAGAAAAAAACAAAAAAUAAAAUAAAAGUUGGGUUUGAAUAUAUAAUAAAAAAUAUAAAAAAUUUAAUAAUUUUUUACAUUUAAUUCUCUAUUUUCAGAGUGAAUCAAUAAGAAUUUUUUAUUUUUUUCCAAUAUUUUCUUACCCAGAACUAAAAAUGUCUUGUUUUGUUUUGGGUUGGGCUUUUAUUUAUUGGGCCUGGCAUUUGUGAACUUCAAUAUAUAAAUGACGACCCACCAUUUUUUUUAUAUUUGAGUUUCCCUCCACUUCUGCCCCUCUUUCUCCCGCCAGAUGCCGUUGCUGUAGAAGAAGAAAUCCUCAGGUGAUUUUCUUUUCCAUUUUUUCUGAAAAAUUUAUUACAAUUGACUUCCAAUCUGUUUGUAUUUUGAAAUUUUUCGUUUUUUCUUUAUUUUUUUCUUUGGUUGAUUGAAUAUGCAUUUAGUUUCAGAGUCCUCUAGGGUUUUCUCACUUCAGCUACUGAAUUCUGGUGUUUCUUUGAUAAUAGCUGUAAAAGGAAGGUCAUUCACAUAUUUUGAGGUAGGCUCUUCUGAUUGACUGAAAGAAGUGGGGAAAAAAUAGAAAAUCUGAACUGGGGAAUUGAGAUAAUUGUAGAAUUUUCUUCAGAUUUGUUUUCUUCAUUGUUAUUGUGUCUGCCUCUAAUUUACAAGAUGAAUUAAAAUGCUUUGGUUAUUUUGUGAUUUUUUUUUUUAAUUUAACUUUAAUGCAAGAGGAAUUUAUUUAUUUUAGUCGGAACAAGUUAGGUUUAAUUUAUGAAUAACCGGGUGAUCUAUUUUUCUUAAACCCCAGCAUGACUCAAUAGGCUUUUUUGGGCAUCCACGUAAUAGAUUUGGGAAUCCUUGAUCUAGAAUCUGGAGUCACCAUCCCUCUUUCUUAGUCAAUCAUAUUGCAGAAAUUGAAAUUUGGGAUCAUCUGCAGAUUCUGUGAUCUGAUUUGAACUUUCAACAGCAAACAGAACUGAUUUGAGCUUUCAAAGUGGAAGAUGGGGUUCUCUGAAUUGAUUGCUAUUGCAGCUAUGCAUGCUUUAUUUUCUCUGGAUCAAUGGUUCUGUACUGCGCUAAAUGUUGGACGAUUGCACCUCCAAGCCUUCUUUGUUAUUUUCUUCUAAAUUAGAUAAUUAGGCACACUUUAGAUUCAUGGGUUUCUGAUGGAUUUUCAUGCUGGCCAAAAUUGAAAUGAAUUAUAAAAUUUUCUAUUAAAUUUGUGAUUAAAAAAUUACUAUAUUGAACAUUUUGGAAGUGGCUAGAAAUCAUGACCCCCUGAUUUACAAGUCAAUUCUCAUUAUACAACAAACUUUGUGAUGGCCUUUGUCGGUUUUCUGUGCAACGCUCUCUGUCUUGUAUUAAGUUCAGUAAGGAGCACAAGGGACUGAGAUCUCAGAUUCAUAUGCCUGCAACCAAAAGUCCAAAAGUUCCCGUAUCCAAACUAUGAGACUGCUUAGGCCUUCAUUUGAAAUAAAAGAUGAUAUGCCAACCACUAGGUACAACUAUAAAAACUCUAUUUCAGGGUGGAGUGGGAAACUUGAUAGCAGAGAAGAUGAACCUCUACCUGACAUAGCAGGAUCCUCUAGGAUUAAGUGUAGGCCUUGGAGUAGUUAUUUUUUAGUGGCUGGUUACUGCUCAUGAGAUUGAAUAAUGUGAUUUGACCUAAUAAUUAAUCAUAAUAUUUCCCUUGGUUUGCAUUUGCAGUCUUCCGGAUAUUGGAAGUUUUGACAGCUAAGUUAGAUGCCAGCCUGAAAUACAUUGACCAAUUGCCUUACUAAGCUGGCUUCACAAAGUUGGAAAGGACUUUAAAAAUGGCACAUUAUUACAACAUUGAUGAAAUUAUUGUAGAGGAAGAGGUAAGCACUUUUAUUUUCUCAUACUAGAUGGUUUUACUUGGAAAAAACCUUUCCCUGAUUCUAAUUUUUUACCAUGUUUUGCAUUUUAUGACAGCUCGUCUCUGCUGUGUUCCAAAAAGCGGCAAAUGGAGUUGGAAUCCUUGAUCCUAGUGCUGAAACAAACAGUGUAAAUUCCAAGGCUCUGCUUUGUUUUGGGUGAAAAUGACAGAAAGAAAGAAUAAUGCUUUAAAUGGGAUGCUUUCUAAAUGAUUUUUAAGAAAUAACUUUUCCUAGUUCUUUCCAAGAAGCAAACAAAAGAAAACUGAAGCUAAGGGGAUAAUUUAUUGCUGGCUUCUGAUAUUUUCCUGAUUGUAUUUUUCAGGUUGAACAAGGUUCAAAGGUAGAGCUGCCCUUCUGGCUUGCUCAUGAGUUACUCCAGAGACAAGCAGUGACAAUUCAUGUUCCUGCCUGUUUCAAUCAAAAGUAAACCUCUAACAGCUGUCUGGAUUUUAACCUUAGCAACAGUAAAAGGCAGACUUUACAUUGAUCAUAUAGCAUGUGCUCACUUUACAAAUAGGUACAUAUAUGACAUGAUUAGGAACAUGUGGCCCAUAAGUUAUAGCUAAAAAACACCUUAGGCAACACUUGACCUUAGUCGUGCAGUUUAUUUUCAUCGAUGGGACUCUCCCCUAAAAAUCCAUGAGGUGUUGUUGAUCCAUGGCAUCAUGCUCUAACAUCCAACUGUUAAGGUUUGUUGUCUACAUUAUUUUAUUUUUCCUUUCCAUCUAAAAGAAUGUGGCGGGCUGUUUCAAACAACUAGUUUCACUUUGCUGAGGAGUUCAGUUAACAAGAUGGUCUGACCAUGAACCCUUGCAUAUGUUUCUAUCUAAAAUAUAAGCAUGAUGAAUUGCCUGUUUCUGUACUAAUAAUGUGGCCUUGUCUUCCCCUUGUUGGACUUUAAUACCAGAACCAGGAAGGAAAUCCAAGCAGAUGCUCCAUGUGUGGAUCUAAGGAGCCGAUGUCCAUAUUUCUAUGAACUGGGGUGCAAGGUAGCCCCAUUGUGAGUUUCUCUUCCCAUUUAUUUACUUCUUGUGUGCAUAGUUAACCCAGUCGAUGAUAUCUUGUACCUUAAAACUAGAUAAUGUUAAGUUUCUGCUCAUUAUUGCUUAAGUUACUUGAUGAUCUUUUCAUUCAUUAUUGCCUUUACAUGGUGCUUCAUCAAAUUUAGAAGGAUGGAACUCUAAGCUUGGGGAGUUCAAUCUCCAAGAUGUAAUGCAAGGCUCCAGAAGUGAGACUACACUAUACCAAUUAUAGUUAUGUUUUUUUUUCAUUUGUUGGGUGUAUUGAGGUUAUGUCCAGAGCAUUUUUCUGACCCUUUUUCUGCAGUUGGGAUGGGGGUUGGGCUGAGAGCCAAUAUAUUCUAGGGCCAAAAGCUCCCAACCAAGCUGGAGGGAAACAAUGGGGAAUCAGUGGAGCAUAACCUAGAACAAGCAAUGAAACCCGCACAGGCACCUAGUUCCUAGUUUGUGAUUAUUGUCCAUGAUCUUCAAGUUCAUUAGCUGGUCUCGGAGAUCAUUAGAGCAAGAGCAAAAUUCUUGUAUUGUUGCCUCAGUUUGCAUAGCAAAAUAUCCUACUUGCCACAUAUGGCAAAUUAAGCCCAUGGUGCUGCUUUUUGAUUUCAGAAGAGAACCUCCCCCAAGAAAACCAUAAACUUUCUGUGCUGGAGCUCGAAGACAUUCUUGUGAGAUAGCAGAACUCCAUCUUUCAUCUGCCAUGAACUUUCAGUUAAGGAACUGCCAGAGAAAGGAUGGUUAUGAUCUGCAAACCUAGAUCCCAUCUUUCAUCUGGACCAUGCCUAUGAAUGAUCAGAGCAAUCACGAUUCUACCCACCUAAAUAUAUGCCCUCUGUAAAAUCAUUGUUCUUUCAAAAUUUGUGAAACAAUGACAACUCAAUCGGAGUUGGAAAACAAUGCAGAAAAUCCUCAAAAAAAAAAUAAAAUGAGGAACAAAAACAAAUUGACCUUUUGUUGAUCACCAUUUCUCCUUACAUAACUUGAUAACCAUUGUGCAUCUGACUUCAAGGUUUAAUUGGGUUUUUGUCAUUUAAAAACGCAGCUAGAUGUUACUAAAUGUUGAAUUUACAAUAAUUACAUUUCAUGAGUUACAACAUUGAUUCUCAUUAAGCUGCUUUGAUGGUGGAUAGGGUUGGUGAUAGAACCAUUGGAUCCUUGCUCCUUCAGGCCUUUUUGAGCAGGUACAAGGAAGUUUUGAGCAAGGCACAUACAGCUGCAUCCACACCGGUUCCCAAAGUCUUGACACUUCUAACAAAAGAAGAAACCAAUUGUAAGAUUGAUUUGACAAAUUUCCAAUAUAUUAUUUUCUACUAUCACCUCUCAUAUUUAUUUUAACAUUGUACAUUUUGAAGUGUAUGAGACAGCCCAAUCCUCUAUGGCAGCAUUUAAGAAAUGGCGGAUGGGUGGACCCAGAUUCCAGAGAGCUUCUGUUCUUGGGAGGAAGAGGAAACCAACUGAUUAGCCGCCCCCAUUCAUAUGACUGUCACGAAGAAACUACUACUUGGAUAUUGUCUGUAAGUGAAACAUAUUAAUGAGCCAUUUCGAUUACAUAAAUCUGUGAGAAUUAAGAGAAUCAAUGCAAAGUUCUGACUAGUACUUGAACUAUUAGGAAGGAGGCUUCAAGCAUCUUGAAUAAAAAAACAAUGGUGGUUGAAGUUGAUUGGUGUUUGCACAUGGAAAUUGUUACCUAACUUUCUCAUUGUUCUCGUUUUGGUACGAGUUUGAGACAAAAGCAUCCUUGCAAAAAAAAAGUCUCAUUACUUUUGAAAAUAUUCAUUAAUUAGUCUUCCAAUCACAUCGGCACCGUCUCAAGUAAUGGUUUUAACACAAAAGGAAAUUAAAAAAAUUAAUAUAUGAUUAAAAGGAUAAUAUAUAUGGAUGUAAUUUUUGUUUCGAAGACUGCUACUGAGACCAACUGAGCGACAAUUUCAUCAGUUUAUUUGGAAUUGAAGGCAACUUCCCACUCACUUUUAUAUAUAUAUGUUGAUUGAUUGCAAGUCCCUUGAGGGUAAAUUUAAGCAUAAUGAUAAAAUCAGUCCUCUUGAGGGUAAGUUACAAAUCCCUAUCCCGGGGUUGGACUAAAUUAUUACAUAUUUCUCCUCUAUUAUUUUAUAUUAAAUAAAAAAUUUAUCCUUUGCCUUUUAUCAAUUAAAAAAAACCUCAAAUAAUUCAAAAACAUAAUUUUUUUUAAAAGAAAAUUUAGUGUGUUUAACUUUAUUUCUAUUCAAGUGCUUUUAGACAAGUUUUCAAUCAUUUUUAAAAUUUUUGUUAAAACAUUUUUUUUUUUUUUUCUUAAAAACACUUUUUGAAUUAAAAAUGUUUUUUAAAAACACUAUCAAAACGAAUUCUUGUUCUUUUUUUGAACUUUCACCUUAACUUCGUUGGUUACUUUAAAAUUUUGAUAAGUUUAAUAACUAAAUUCAAAGUAAACAAAGACUUAAAUUAGAGUUUUAUAUAUAUCAACAAUAGGAAAGUUUUUGGCCCAUUUUAGCUCUGAAGAUGAAGCUAAAUUCAUAAUUGUUAGAGGUAGAAGUUAUAAUUGUAAGAAAUGUUUCACGAAAUCAUUUUUUGAAUAGUUUUAAAUAAAACUUUGAUAGUUCAAUUUUUUUUGGAGCAAUAGGUUUUAUUUGAAAAGUGUUUUAGAAUAAAAAUUGAUGUUUUAUAGAAUAAAAAUUUGUUUUGUGAUGAGAAUACCUUCAAAUAUUUUUAAAAAUAAAUUUUAUCUAUUUUGUUUUAAAUCAUUGUCUAUAUUUAUAUAAUCAAUUUUUAUACCUCACAAUUUUGGUUUUACUUAUUUAUUUUUUUUGGUAAAAAAUUACCAUCUCCCAAUUUUUAUAAUUUUUUUUUAUAAAAUUAUCUCUUCAAAAAAAUGAUUUCUCACUUUUUAAAAAGACGAUUUUUUUAUAAUAAAAAAAUAUUUUUUUCCUUUCUUAUCUGACAAAAAAUUACAAUAGAUUUAAAAUUAUUUUUUCCAUUAUGACAGUUUAAAAAUUUGCCAAAAAUCCGAUUUUUGUCUUUCAAAUCCAACUAUCCAUAUUUGAUGUCCCACGACGUGCAUCACAGAACGAACUGAUAUAUUGACGUGGCAGCCUAGUGUACGGUUGGCGGUACUAAAUUUAUAUAUAUAUAAUAUUAAAUAAACAGAAAGAUAUUUGGAGACGGAUCCAGCAGAGCAGCUUGAUUAGUAGUUGCCCACUCCACUUUUGCUCUUUUUCAUUUCUUAAAAGUUAAAAUAUCCCUUCUCCAAUGAAACUCCUCCAGAAGAUAUUUUCUUGAUUAACUUCGUCCCACUACCACCACACCUCCACUUCAGCGCGUGCCCUUCAAGCCUCCCUCUCUGUCUCUUUUAUCAAGUCAGACAAGUACGGAGAGAUACAUGCCUGAGAAAGCGGGAUUCCUCACCAUCGCCGGCCGAAUCUAACAUGGACGACGACGCCUCCAAUGGAUUCCGCCGCCACCGCCGCCGUCGCAGUCGACAAAGCUCCGCGACCGUUGAUCACCGUCGAGCAGGUUUCGGCCCCGCGGACGAAGGAGAUGACUCCGGCGGGGAGGCGGAGGAGGGCAGCGCUGAGGUUUGGGAGACCUUCAACGACAGCUUUCGGCAGGUGCAGUCCGUGUUGGAUCGGAACCGCGUUUUGAUUCAGCAGGUUAACGAGAACCACCAGUCCAAGAUUCCUGAUAAUCUCGUCAAGAAUGUUGCCCUAAUUCAGGAGAUUAAUGGAAAUAUUUCCAAGGUUGUUUCGCUCUACUCCGAUCUCUCCACCAACUUCUCCGGCGUAUUUCAUCAGCCACACGAGAACGAAAACGGAGCGGUUGUCGCUAAGAAAGGUAGUGUCAAGGGGAAGAACACGGAAGCUUGAGUCGAUAAAAAAUUUCUAAGGUUGAAUUCAUCUUAUUUGUAAAUCAGUUUCUGUUGUUGUAGUGUGUUUAGGUUUCAAAUUACUGAAUAUCAAAACACUGCUUCUGUUUAUGUGGGUGUUGGAGUCUCACUGUUGGUGUUCGUCUCGGUGGAAAACUGUUAUGCUCAUGCUGUGUUUGUUGUCCGUUGUUGUUGUGUUAUAAGGAGGAUGACUGCGGGACGGCGGGACCGACCCCAUUAUCUUCCUCAUCGACUAAUAGACAAUUGAGGUAUUUAUGUUCUGUUUGUUUCUUUGUUAUGUGUUUGCUCUUUGAUAUGGGUAAUUGAUUUAGUGUACCAAGAUAGGGCUUUGUCUCUGACCUGAAAGAAUGAAUGAACGCAACUGAAUCAGGACAGAAUUGUUACUUCAGAUGCUCUGUUUGUAAAUAGUUUAGGUGCUCAGUUUUUUAGGGUGAACAGCAUCAUAGAUUCAUAGAUUGAUUAGAUUCACCUUAUAAAGUGCACUUGACAAUUAAGUUCCUGCUCUGAAAGUCUCCUUGGAAAGUUAUCUAUUGAAGGAGGAGCAGAGUGGAUACAAUCACAAGUACCUCGGACCAUAAUUGUGAGGUAUAAAAAAGGUUAAGGUUGCUCAUCAAAAGGGGUAAUAUGAGGGAGUUAGGCCAAAUUCUUGUAGUUUCCAUUUGGAGAUAGACCUUGGUUUGUGCCUUCAAUGUUUUUUUCAAGACAUGGGUGUUUGUUACGUUUGCGUCAUAUAUCGUUUCAGUGAGCAAUGAAAUGUCGUGCUUAUGCUGUUUGUUAUCCUUUUGGUUAUAAGGAAGAGUACAGCUGGAAUGCUUGUUUUCUUGUUCGAAAUUGCAGACCAGAUGAGGUGUCUGGGUUCUGUUUGAUUAUUUGUGUUGCUUGUGAUCUGUAUCGUGUGAUUGGGUUCACAGAAAAUGAAUUUCUUCAUUUUGGACCUGAGCUUGCAGUUUCUAAUAGAGUGUAAAAAAAAAGGAUGUGUACAAGGAAGCAUGAAUUAAACACUGGUGCAAAUGCCCUGUUAGCUAUGGAAAAGGUUGUUCUUCCUCCAGAUGGGUUAAUGUUGACAUUUGUUUAAAGCUCUUGUUGUGGAUGAAAAUAGACUUGUGUAGCUGAGCGCAAGUACAUGGAAUGGAAAAAAAGGGCUUUUUUGAGUAGUUCAAUGAACACAACCAAGAAGUACCUUACUUGGGCAUAUGAAGCUCACUAAGCCAUUUUUUGUUUGUUUCUUUGAAUCAAAAAAGUUUUCUCUGUUCAUGUUCUGCACAAGUGAAGCUAACCUAGUCAUUUUGUUUCUCUUUGUAUCAAAACAGUAUUCUCUGUUCAUGCUCUUGGAGGGCUAAUAUUUUCCCUCUGGAAAUGGCCGGAUGGAAGGAGAUAUAUUCUCUUUAAUCUCCUAUUUUUCCCUCUUCUCUUGCAUAAUAACCCAGUCUUAAAAGAACUAAAUUUUUUUUGGUGGUUAUUAAAAGCUCCAAAAUUCGCACAAACCAACUCGGAUGAGAAGCUUCUUGUUCUUAACUGGAUGUUUGGUUCUUGGAAAAUUUGAGAGAAAAAAUAAGAAAGAAAAAUGGAAGAAAAGAAAAAGUAUUAGAAAGAAAGAAAGAUAGAAAAUUUAAAGUCAACAAAUUAUUUUUAUAUAUUUCUUCAAACUUAUUUAAUUUAUUUUCUCUUUUUUACAUAAAAAUAAAUUAAUUUAAAAAAAUAUAUAUUUGUAAUUUACUUAUAUUUGUUUUUAUUUUGUAUUUUCCGUGAUAAGACAAACAUGAUACAAUCAAUUUUCUUUUCUUAGUAAUGUUUUUUAUGUCCUUAUACUUUCCCAGAACCAAACAUGACAGGAGUUUUGUUGCCUUGCACGGCAUCUAUACAAGUAAUAAGUUCCUUUGGGGCAUGUUCCUUGUAGGAACUGGCUAGAGGAAAAUAUUUCACUUUACCCAUUAUCUUCAUGAGCCCAUCUUGAAUUCGGAUUGCCUCAGCCUUGUUGUGGGUGGAUUAUUGUGUUGCGACUCAGAAUGGACCGAUUUUGUUUCUUGAUUGUUGAACUUUGAUGAAUUUGUUAAGAGGACAAUCUGAAACACUGGAAAGAAGUAAGAAAUGAUGUGGUAGGGAAAUGUAGAGCAUUCCAAGUAGGAGAUAACGGUGUAGGAAAUAAGACUGAUCCAAAUAAUAAGUGAUUUAGUGUGAGUCUAAGGUUCUAUAGUUAGACAUGGUGAAGAAAUCGUCUUAUGCCGUAGGCUAAGGCAUGAAUGAUUGAGUGCAAGAGUGAUUCAAGAUUCAUACUGUGGGAUGCCAUAGACUCGGGGAAUGGGGCGAUGAGUUAAUUCGUUAGUUUUAUUGAUGUUGGUUGCAUAUUGUAAUGCUUGACAAAUUCUCUCAAAAAAUUCAUUGGGGAGACGGUAAAACAGUGGGGAAAAUUCUAUUACUUCUUUUACUCUCUCUUCUUUGUUUUCCCCCCACCUUGUCAAUUCAAUUGACCGAGGCCUUGCUCAAGGAAAUUCGAAUUUGAUUAUUUGCUGUUGAAGUUGGGGAUGCCUUCACAAUUUGCUACAAGUUGACAUGCAUUCUGGAGAACACCAAUCGCUCUUUCUUCCCAUACAUGUUUAGAUUCAAGGUCAGAUCAGAUUGGCAUGGUGAGGACGUCAUCGUGUAUUUAGCUAUUUUUCACUGGAGCUGCUAGAGGAUAACCUGGAAUGGAGCAUUUGAUGCCCAGUUAUCAUGGUCAAAUGGAACCUUUGUAACUUAUUUUCAACUGGAAUUCAAUAGUCUAUAAGGCAAUAUAUGUAAAAGUUACAUGCUUACAAAGACCUAUAUUCUGAAGUUUUUUCAUGUAAGGCCUUUUCCCAACUUCUGCUGAACACCAUAAGAAAGUGAACCGAAGUUAUCGGACUCGUCUCUGAGUUCAUAAUACAUAAUGAUCACGUGGUACAUGGUAACAAUUUUAUUAUACAACAAAAGAUGAAAACAGUAAUUAUAGAGGCAGUUCACCACUGUCUGAAAUGACAACUUUUUGAGUGGGCGCCCCAUUCCUACUUCCCAGCUCUUCAAUUUUGUAGACCACCUCCAUCCCGGAAAGCACCUUGCCAAACACAACAUGUUUGCCAUCCAACCUUCAAAAAAACAAAUAAAGAAGCACGGUUACAUGAGUUCAGAAACUUACACAAGCCUGUAAAAAUAUAUUCUCAAACAGAGUAUUUAAUCAUGCAAAUCCAUGUCCUGGUCCUGGAGGCAAUCACACCAAGAAAUUGUGUGAAUCCAGCAAAUCUAUAAUUCUGGAUACCAUAUCACUUCAGUUUGUUAAGACCUGGGACAUCACAUACAAAUGACACUCCCAACUCUUCUGAGAAUAUAAAACAUUAUCUAGAAUGCCAUUUGUCUACUGAAAAAAUCCUACUAGUAAGGAGGAAAUAGUUGACUACCAAUGAGUUGCUACUGUUGUAAUGAAGAAUUGCGAUCCAUUGGAGUCGGGCCCAGCAUUUGCCAUUGACACAAGUCCUGUUAUCAAAAUGAAGAAGUGAACAAAGGAUUUCUAUUGAAUACUCUUUAAAGUGCACAUCAUAACCAGUUAAUUGCAACUUGUUUGAGUGGAUCUUGCAAAGAAGAAACCUAGUCAACAGACUUUAUAUUUACCUGGACUAGUGUGAUUCAGUUUAAAGUUCUCAUCAGCAAACCUCUCACCAUAGAUUGACUCUCCACCUCGUCCAUCACCCAGGGUAAAAUCACCUCCCUGGAUCAUAAAGCUGGGAAUAAUCCUAUGGAAUGCGCUCCCUUUGUAAUGAAGAGGUUUCCCACUCUUUCCCCUCCCCUUCUCCCCUGCAAUGCAUCAUUAACAGGAUCAGCCUAAAAAUUAUAAACCUAAUUUAGAAGACAUAGCAUACCAUCAAGAUUAUGACUUCAACCCUUUUCACAUAAACAGAAAACUUAAGCCCAGUCCAUUUCACACAGGUGCGUCUCCCAAUGGAGCUGAAGUCUAAUUGGAAAACUCCAUCAACCUCCCCCUCCUCAUUUUGGUACCACCCAUACCCCAAAUUUAGUCACUAAAUGUACCAUCAAGCCUUUUGGACUGUAUUCUUUAAGAAAUAUAGAAAAUAAAUUGUAUUUGUAGGUAAACCAAUGAGUUCAAACUUAUUUAUUAGUAACAAGUGUAUAAUCAGAUGGCCACCAUAGCACCCAAAGGCCAAAAAACUGCAACAUAAUUACCAAAAUUGGCGCAUACUAUAUAAGCACAGGGGUAUGGUCUUGACAAAAGGUAGCCAAGACAUCAUCUAUGCAAUGCUUUGUUACAUUGAUGAUUAAACUUCUAGAAGUCACAUUUAACAUAGAUCACUGAAAGAGUAUUCUCCAAACUGCAAUUAAAGUUGCGUCUUUUCUCCAUGAUGCAGUAAAGUAACAACAUCCACCAAUCAUUAACAUUCUUUCCUUUUUCGUUAUACACAGUUUGGAGGAUAUAUUUGACUGCUAACUGAGAUCUUUCAGCAAUAAUCCGAAAAAAUGGGGGAUGUACUUCAGCAAAAUGAAAGUAAGUAGUUUAUAUAUAUAAUUAAUGAAGGCAUGAUAAACAAAAGAAGGGGGCAAGAGUUACAUGGCUACCCGUGCAAAGCGCCCGGAAGUUUUCUGAAAGACAAACAUAUAACAAAUAAUCAGAUUAUUUUCAUGUACCAAAUCAGAAUGAAAAAUUAGCAGUGUUAUCCUCAGCAUUUGGGUGCCAUACCUAUGGUUUUAGGAACUGUUUUCCCAAAGAGACCCAUGGUAAUGCGGCCUGAAAGCAAAUAAAUCACGAAUAUAAAACAUCCUUACAUAAACUAAGAUUACUGGGAAUCUAAAUUUAAAUAUAAGCAAGAUAUUCACUAUAUUUCUAGUCAGUGAAAAAACCCUUAAACAAGUAACAUAAGAAUAAACAUUUCAAGUAGAAGCAAAUCCGUGCCGCCAAUUGGUGAGGGCAUGGUUCAACAUCUCGUGAAAGUAAAACCAUUUAUAUGUGUUCUAUGAAGAAUUUCAAAUGAAUCCAUCCUGGUUUACUCUAAGCAGAAAAAUCAUCGACAUUUGUUCUCCGAAGAGUUUCAAAUGAGUCUAUCCUGAUUUACCACAAGCUGAAAAAAAUCAUCAGCAGCUUGCCCUACUAAGCAUUUCAAAUGAAUAUAUCCUGAUUUACUAUAAGCUGAAACAUCAGCAGCUCCUCUGUUGAAUCCGAAACUUUUGCCUCUAGUGGAAGAAUUUUAAGCGGAUUUCAGCUCGGAUAUAUUCAAAUUCAAUCCCCAAUGUGUCAGCACCCACUCUCUAAUUCCAAUUCCACCAUUACAUCCCAAAAAUUUCUCAAAACAGAUGAGCCCAAUUUUCCAAACAUAUCAUACCAAUGGGUUUUCCGCUCACUUCGACAUCAAAAUAGACUUUGUGUGUCACUCCAUCUAAAUCCUCCUUUGACUUGCUUUCCUGGAAAAAAAAAGGGGGGCAUAACUAAAUGAAUCAACCCAGGCACUUGCAUUUUUGGAUUUACAGGUAAAACAAAACCCAAAGAUCCAUCUGCUUCAACUCAAAAUAAAUUCUGGAAAAAAAAAAAAAAAUCUACCUUUUCAAGCGUGGUAUUGAUAGUCUUCUGCUCAAUUGAGACUGUGGCACUCAAUUGACUCUGCAAUUGUAACAAAAAAAUCAAUAUAAGAAUAAAAGAUUCUAAUAAUUUCAUUCUUCUCACUUGUAUAGACUCAAGAGUAAACCCUAUUUCCCGAUGAAAAAUACCUAAUUACGAGUUCAAUAAAUCCAUCAAUAACCAAAUUUCAAAAUCUAAAUUGUACUCCAAACCCUAGAUCCUACAAACCCCGUAACCCAUGUUUGAAUCGAAACAAACCAACCCAAUUCACGAGCUCCAUUCUGAAAGAAUGAAGAAAAUCGAAGGGAAAAUGCCCUCAGAAAUAGCUCGAUUUCUUAAGAAGUUUUCUCAUUCUUUCCCGAGAACCAAACAAAGUGGGGGAAAACUACAAACCAAGAAUGAAUACCUGAAUGAUUGCUAGGGUUCCAAUCAGAACCAUAAUCCAUAUAACAGCCACUGCAAUCAACCGUCUUGUCGCCGCCAUCGACUCCAGACUCUCUCUCAAUCUCUACUUUUUCAGCCCUAAGUGGAAAAACUGAAACUCCAAUCAGAUCCAAAAAAAAUUAUUUAAUAUUGUCUUUUUUUGGGGGGGGAUAUUAAUUUAUUUUAAAAUUGUUAAAAAUGAAGAGAAGAAAAAGAAAUGGAGGAAAAUCACAGGUGGCAGUUUGUAAAAACUUUUCUUCGAAACAAAAACAAUUUUAGUUAUAUUUGUCUAUUUGAAUUGCAGGUCAAUUAAUGUAAAGUAAUUUUGAAAUCUCUUAAAAGUCAAUUGUUGUCAUUUUCAUCGGCAUUUAGUACUAGAUUUGAAACCAUCAAUACCUAAUCUCGGAACAUAAUCAAGUAUAGAAUUGACUUUUAUUAUCUUAUUUUUCUGGUAGAUUUAUAAUUAUAUCAUUUUAUUACUUCUCAUAAUUAUGUUUGGAUAGGGUUGCCUUUUCUUCUGGGAAAUGUUUUCCUUGGAUCUAUUAUUAGAUUAUUUAUUGUAUUGGAAUUGGAUUUUUCCAAAUCUUCUCAUUUCUUAGUAAAAAGGAAAAGUUUCUCACCAUUUUGGUAUUCAUAGUAAGUUUAUUUGAAAUAUAUUUUGUUUACUUAGAAAUUUAAAAGAGCGGGAAACCUCGACGGCCGUGACUCAACGACCCGAUCCACACAGAAAUGAGAAAACAACAAUGUCAAUAAAAUAAUAAUAAUAAUAAACGCGUCAACGAUCGACCUAUAAAGACUCCGAAAUCCAAGCAACGUCCGAGGAAUUCCCAGAAACACUGAAUUUUCACAUUUCCCAAACACAGUUUCCGUUGACAAUUUUGAUGAGAUGAAAACCCACAAUUACAAGGUGUUUAAGUGCUUCAGCAGGAAGUUCAAGAUCGGCGGAGUGGAGCCUCCGCCAUAUGUUAAGCUUAUUUUUGCGAAAUAUUCCGGUGGAGGGACCCACAUGGGGCCCGCCCAGUUCCGCCGCUUUCUGGCCGAGGUUCAGGGCCAGGAAGGUUGCACGGUGGCGGACGCCGAGAGGGUCAUGGAGGAGGUUGCCCGCCGGCGGCACAACCACAUUGGAUUGACCGAGCAUCAGUCUUGCGCCCUCACACUCGAUGACUUCUUCCAUUACCUCCUGUCCGAUGAUCUCAACCAAGCCAUCAAAACCCAGGUCUUGGUUUUCUCUAUCUUUCGAAAUUCUCGCCCUGUUUUGCUGUUUGCUUCCUGAGAAAACACAAGAAAAAGAAAAGAAAAGAAAAGAAAAGAAUUUCUUGAUUGUUAAUUUAGCUGUGUUGAUGGAUAAUCUGGUUUCAGGUACACCAUGAUAUGACUGCUCCGUUGCCACAUUAUUUUAUCUACACAGGUCAUAAUUCAUACUUGACUGGAAAUCAAAUCAGCAGUGAUUGCAGUGAUGUGCCAAUCAUAAAGGCCCUGCUAACAGGCGUGAGAGUGAUCGAGCUCGAUAUAUGGCCAAAUUCCACCAAAGAUGAUAUUCAGGUUAUUCAUGGAAGGUACCACUUAAUUCCCAAUUCGGAUCAUCUUCUACUAUUAGAACUCUUCAGGUUUUUUUACAGAUGAAGUGAUCUCAUUAUCUGAAUUAUUCUAGGACACUAACAACCCCAGUGACCCUCAUCAAAUGCUUGAGGUCCAUAAGGGAGUAUGCUUUCAUCGCCUCUCCAUACCCUGUGAUAAUAACUCUAGAAGAUCAUCUUACACCCGAUCUUCAAGCUAAAGUGGCAGAGGUUAGAUUCAUGUUGUUCAUGGAUUUAAAUUUCGAAGCAAAUUUUUCUGUUUGUCUUGUUUCUGAUCAAGAAUUGGUCUUUCCUCUAGAUGGUUACUCAAACAUUUGGGGAUAUGCUGUAUUACCCUGAGUCCGGAUGCCUAGAAGAAUUCCCAUCCCCAGAAUCAUUGAAGUAUAAGAUUAUUAUUUCGACGAAACCACCAAAAGAGGAUGUUGAAGCCAAGAGAAUCAAGGGAAAAGAAAAUUCCUCGCCAAGGGAAAGGGAUAUAUGUGAAGAAUCAUCGCAGAAGGAGGUGUCUGACCUACUAGCUGAACUGGAAGCUGCAGAGAGGGUGAGAGAUGAAAAAAGAAACAUAUCUGAGCACAAUUUCUGAUGCUUUGCCUCACUUCAACUUUGGUUUUUGGUAGGAGAGUGAGAGCUACGAGUAUGAAGAGAACAGCACCAGUGAUGGCAGGUCAGGCCAGUCAGAGACGCCUAAAUACAAGCUCCUAAUCACAAUUCAAGCGGGGAAGCCAAAGGGUGGGUUGAAGAAUGCCUUGAGGGUUGGGAGUAACAAGAUUAGACGUCUUAGCUUGAGCGAACAGGCGCUUGAAAAGGCUGCUGCCUCUCAUGGAACCGAUCUCGUGAGGUACUCAUUCAACCAUUCCGUCCUGCAUACCUGCUAGUAGUUUGCCACUGUUAUAGUUUAGAUUUCAAUAUUAUGCCUUUUCUAGGUUCACACAGAAGAAUGUUCUGAGGAUAUACCCUAAAGGGACGCGAGUUAACUCAUCAAAUUACAAGCCAAUGCUCGGGUGGAUGCAUGGAGCUCAGAUGGUGGCAUUUAAUAUGCAGGUUGGUUCAAGUUUCAGGUGCUGUGGAUGAGAAGCUUUACUUUAUAGUUCUCUUGAUUUUUCCAUUAGUAUCUCUUCCUUGUUUGGUUAGUAUCAACUCUCAACCAUCAACAACUGAAAAUUACUGCAGAAAGAAUGCUUUUGCUUUCUUCAAAGUUAUUAUUAGCAAUUGCUUUUCCUUUUCCUUCCUUCACAAGUUUCAAGCAGUGUUUGCUUAGUCGUAUGCAUUUAUACAAGCACAUACCUAUAUGGUAAGGUGAAGUUGUCUUUUGUAAUGAUUCUCUUCCUUCUGUAUAGACAUUAUACGUUUGAAGCUCAAUGGGUCCUUUAAAAUGCGUCUACAUAAUAGUUAAGAGGAAUUAAUUACUUGUAUGCUGUGAAAAACUUCUCCCCUUAUCUGACAUGACGAGAAUAUCAUGUUUAUAUAUAUAGUGAGUUCCUCAUAACUAUAUAAACGCAUUAUAAAGCCAUGAUGACUCAUUGGACCUAGAGCGAGAAAGAACAUAAGAUUACAAAUGGGGCAUUAGAGCCGAUCCCCGUUCUUGUGUGGGACUUCCUUUUAGCCUUUCUUCUACUCUUGCCAGUGGUUGUUUUCUUUCUUCCUUGAGAAGAAAUUGAUGGAAAUGGAGGCAGUGAUUCCUUGUCUCGACUUCAGAUUCUUGUUGAUAAGAUUUGAUUUAUCUAAAACACUUUAACAUUUCCUAUUGUACUGAUAUCUGAUAUGUGAGCGUGUUCAUGUAACAGGGAUAUGGAAAAUCACUCUGGUUAAUGCACGGGAUGUUUAGAUGCAAUGGAGGGUGCGGCUAUAUAAAAAAGCCUGAUUUCUUGAUGAAGAAAGGUCCAUGUAGGGAAGUCUUCAACCCUAAAGCAACCCUGCCAGUGAAGACAAUCUUAAAGGUGACUCCAUCUUUCUAGCUUCAGUAUGAAUUCUGUCCAUAACCUCUCCUUAGUAUCUCCCGUCACUGGAACAGGUGGGAGUGUACAUGGGCGACGGUUGGAGCUUAGAUUUCAGCCCAACACACUUCGAUACAUACUCCCCACCAGACUUCUACACAAAGGUUUGUUAGACUCAACACUUCACAGUAUUUCCAUCACAAUGUCUUUUUUCAGGUUUACUUACUGCUAAACUACAUUACAGAUUCACAUAGUUGGAGUACCUGCAGAUAAUACUAAGAGGAAGACGAAGAUAAUAAACAACAACUGGUUUCCAGUAUGGGAUGAAGCUUUUAUAUUCUCAUUGACAGUUCCAGAGCUCGCUUUGCUUCGAAUUGAGGUACGAGAACAUGAUAGAUCCGAGAAGGAUGAUUUUGGUGGGCAGACAUGUUUGCCGGUCUCGGAGCUCAGGCCUGGGAUCCGCUCAGUUCCUCUGUUCGACAAAAAGGGGGAGAAGUAUAAAUCUGUGAGGCUACUCAUGGAGUUUGAAUUCUUAUGAACUCUACAUUGCCUUCCUUUCAUACAAAUUUCAAUCACAUUAUAGGUCAUGUACAAAAAAGAAUGCAAGUCUUUAUCAUUUGAUAGUGGGGAUUUUUACUUGCUUUAUGUCAAAGUUAAAUGAUAGAUUUGAGAGGCAUAUUAUGCUGCGUACCACAGUUUUUGGGCACUGUUUUAUUAAUUUGGUACCAUCAUGUAAGCUUUAGAUAUUCCUUUUACACUUAUAGUGUAAAUGCGUUCAAAAGCCCUCGAGAUUUAAUGGCCUCAAGCCAUUACAAUCAAUUUCAAGUGUAAAUACUCAUGAAUCCUAUUCUAGGUUAAAAAGGUAGAGUUUGACUAUCUAUGAAUCUGUGUCAUGGUAAGGAUUUUUUUCACUAUGUUUGGUUUGAGGAAAGAAAAAUAAUAAUAAAAAAAGGUAAUUUUUUUAUGUUUGGUAUUAUCAUGAAAAAAAAAAUUAAAUAUAAGUGAAAUUAAUAUAUUUUUAGAUUAUUCAAUCUUUACAUAGAAGAGUUAAAAUAAUAAAUAAAAAUAACCAUUUUAUUUUUCAAAAACCAGACAUAAUCUUUAUAAAUCUGACACCCAUAAAUUUUAUAGUCCAUGGCAAAGACAUUGUGUUUAUGUAAAAAAAAAUUGUAAUAUUUCGCUUGGACAUCCCAUCCUGGUUGGAAAAAUAAAGUUUAGCCGCCCUUAAACCCGUGGUCCACAAGCGAGAUAUCAUAGAUGUGACUAAAAUUUUAUGGAAUCAUGACAAAGAACUUUAUAACCAUGGCAAGGAUAUUGUCUAUGCAUUUGUAGUUAGAAAUAUCCAAAAUGUAACCACCUAUAAAUUACAUGACCAACAAUAAUGACAUAAUUUACAUAUCAAUAGCGUAAAAUAUAUGUCCUUUGGUAGCUACUCAUGAAUUCCUUGAUCCAUAAAAGGAUCUCGUGCCUAUAUUCAUAGUUGAAGAUAUAAUGAUGAAUACGAUUAUGGAGGAACCAUGUGACUAUCAAUCAAAACAUUAUGCCUAUAACAUAAAGAUAAGCACAAUCAUAGUUUAUAUCUCUUGAAAAGAGAAUGAGAAUAUCAUCUCUCACAUAUUCGCAAAUAUAUUUUAAAAUUUAAUGCCAAAUAGGAAUAAUACUUGUUUUUAUACCGACGCUAAUAUAAAUACUUUUUGGGCAUUUCAAAAAUGAAAAGGAAAAAGGAAAGAAAUGAAGCACAAUCAUGUAAGUUCUUCUACAUAGAAGUCAUGCUUUAGUAGCCAAAACCAGGUGUAAAGUAGUAUCACAACGAAAAUUAGGAUGAGAGAAUCACUUUAUCCUUUGAUUUCAUAUGAGGAAAGGUAGAAAUGGACAAAAAAAUAUAAAAAAUAAAUGCAGAGGGUGAUGGGGAAUGAGCUUGUGGGUGGUGGACACCUUCCAAAGAAAAAUCCCAUGUGUGGGCUCUUUAUUGUUUGUCGGUAGGUCUCUGCCUUUACUACAUGAUUACCGAGUUUACACUAUGUAGUGCGUUUUUAUAAUAAACUAGUUAAUCAAAGAAAAAGAAAAUGAUUCCUUUCCCAUCUCACAAGCUUUUAUUUUCUCAAUUAUUAUACAAUAUUUUUUUUUCAAUUAAUUUUUUUAAAGAGGAUUAAUUAAUUAUUUUUAAGAUUUGAUAGAACUAUUUCAAAAGAAUGAUAUUAAAAAAAAUUAAAUAAGAAUAUCAAAUAUAUUACUCUUCCUUUAGUAUUCUUGGCUUCUUUCGUCUCUCCUAACCAAUCAAAUAUAUAAAAUAAAAUUUGAGGUCGUUCUUAAUCUGAUUUUUAUUUUUAAAAAGUAAUUUUUAUAUUUAAUAUUUAAUAUUUAAUUAUUUUUUAUAUUUAAAAAUAAAAAAUUAUUUUAUCUCUUUUUUUAUUUUGAAGAAUAAAAAAGUGUUUUAAAAAAUAAUUAUGAAGGGAUUUAACUACUCAUAAAUUUAUAUACGAAUAUCCAAACUUAAAAUUUAAAAUAAUAAUUUAUAUUUUUUAAAAAAAAUGAGAAUUUCAUCUUCUUUAGAAAUAAAAAAGGUAGCGCAACAAGUAGCACGUUGUGACCUAUAGGGAUUUUGUACCUCAAAAUUCAUACCUAAUAAAGUCAAAUCAAACUUAUAACUUAAUUAAAACUCUAAUUAAACGUGGACCCUUCACCAUAGAUAAAGGUCAAUUCGGGCCGGACACUUGGUUGGGCCAACGUGGCACAACAAAACAGUCAAGGCGGGCCCACAACUAUCGUGAACUGUGGGCUGGCCCCACUCAUCCAACCCCAAUCAUUCUGGGCUCAGCCACUCUCCUGAACAAAUUUAUGAACCGCAACAACCUCUCUCAUUUUCCUCGAGAAAAUCUCCAUUUUCUCUGCUUUCUCUCUCUAGAUUUCUCCGUCUCUGUCUAGUGUCCGCCAUGUCCAAGCAAACUUACAGAGUCUGCUUCUGUUUCCGCCGACGCUUCCGCCUCACCGUUUCGGAGGCGCCGCAGGAGAUCAAGGAGUUGUUCGACCGCUACUCCGAGAAUGGGAUGAUGAGCAUCGAUCACCUUCAACGGUUCUUGAUCGAGGUCCAGCAGGAGGAGAAAGCUACUGUUGAAGAUGCUCAGGCCAUUUUGGACAGUCUUCAUGAGUUCAAGCAUCUCAAUAUUUUUCAUCGCAAGGCUCUUAAUCUCGAAGCAUUCUUUAAGUACCUCUUCGGCGACAUUAAUCCUCCGCUCUCGACUGCUCUUGGGGUAAUUCUUGAUUUUCGUUUUCAUUUUUUUUUUUUCUGUACUGUGUUUGAUUGUGAAGAAAUGAAAAAGAAUUCAGAAUCUGAGGAUGGAAAAAGGUGCUAAAAUUAGCUCAAAUGAGUUGAAAGACUUGCGCUGGGCUUGGUUAAGUGGGAUUUUCUAUUCUUUUUUUUUUUUUCUUUUUUUUUUUGUAGGGUCCUAAAUUGUGAAUAUAAUUCAGUUUAAAAUUUUGAUAUUCUGGGAAAGCAAAGGGCGUCUUUAUCGUUUGAAUAAAUUCGUUAGAUGUGUUGAUCGAGCUGAUUCAAUUUCCGUUAAGCAUACGAGGUGUUCUUAUGGUAAUACUGGCUUGGUUUAGUUCGAUCUGCUUUCAAUUAUCUGUCUAAUUAUUUGCAUUCCAUUUUAGUUGUUCUUGCCUUCUUGGUAUAGUUGGUUAUUGGUGAUUGCCGUGCUAUAUUCUUCAAUAUUGUGGUGGGCGAAAGGCAAAAUUUAAUUAUUGGUUCUUUUUCUUUAAGAUCGAAGUAAUGGUAAUGAUCUAUUUUUACUUUUAUGGAGGAUGUCAUGGGAACUGCUUAGAAUUAGGCAUUAUGCACUCAUUUGUGUAAGCAACUCAUAGUAAAAUCCUAAGGAUUCGAGGCUUGUUAGACAGUGCUUUUCACAAUAUCCAAAUAUCUAACCCAUUAAUUGAUGGGCAUUUGAUUUUCUGAAACAUGUUUAAUUUCACAAUUUCUCACUUCUGCGCUAGAAAGUUCACUAUUAGUUCGAUAUGCAGAUCAAGUUAGAAAAUGGCUUUUUAGUUGUUCACAGAACUUGCGGUGAAAUGUAGGGGAGAUUUGUUAAAUUGUUUCAGUUGCAUCCUCACCUCAAUUGAUAUUAUUUUAUUACUACAACACUUCACGGUAUAUUUCGUAUUGUAUAUUUCAUAAUAAUUUUCCUUGUUCCAGGUGCAUCAUGAUAUGACUGCUCCAUUGUCUCAUUAUUUCGUAUAUACUGGCCACAAUUCCUAUCUGACAGGGAAUCAACUUAGUAGCGACUGCAGCGAUGUCCCCAUCAUACAUGCACUGCAGAGAGGCGUAAGAGUAAUUGAGUUGGAUAUAUGGCCAAAUUCUACAAAAGAUAAUGUUGAUGUUCUUCAUGGAAGGUAUGGAGUUAAUAUGCAAAUGACAGUCUACCUGAAAUAUGGCAUUGCUUUAAGUGUGGUCCGACUUUUCUUGGAUGCUAAUAGAACUUUCCCUUCUGUUGCUGACAUAAAAACAUCCCUUUCCAGGUCUUUGGAUACAACCCAUAAGGGUUUGCCCGUUCUUUGUACAUAAACCUUUGUGAUGAUUUCGCGCAGUUUCAGUAGUUCUUCCGCUUCCAUGACAAAUUCUCCGGCUUGUGCCUCAUAAAAAGCAGCAGCCGGUUGAUGGAUCAUUACUCUGAUGAUAUAACAUAAUAAAUGAUUUCUCUAUCUCGUAUGAUGAGUUAUUUAAACAUUGGGAUAUAAACUAACCUAAUGCAAUGAAUAUUUUCUUCACAAACAGUUUCGCAAUUCCUGUCAUCAUUUUGAAUAUAGACAUGAAUUUCCAUCCAAAUGUGGUGACAAGUUGAUUGAUACAAGCAACAUAUGUUCUAAUUUUGUUUACUUCGGCUUUGGAUUUGAUGUUAGCAAUAAUGAUUUGAAUGUGUUUGUUGUAAAUAUAAUUUGUACAACAACAAAACUGAACUAAAUUUCAGAAUGUUUUGAGCUGCUCAAAAUUGAGUGGCACCUUAAACUUGUCAAAACAGAAAUCCAUGUCUUAUGACACUAUUGCUUCUCUAAAAUUUCAACUACCAAUUAGCAUUUUCUCAUUGUGAAAAUUUUCUUUGACCUCUUUAGAGAGAUCUGAAUAUGCAUCACCUGUCCUUAUUUCUAUUUUAAGUCUUGGUUUUCUUCAUGUAGGACACUGACAACUCCUGUGGAACUUAUCAAGUGUUUGAAAUCUAUUAAGGAGCAUGCCUUUUCUGCAUCUGAAUAUCCUGUUGUGAUAACUCUAGAAGACCACCUCACUCCAGAUCUUCAGGCUAAAGUGGCUGAGGUCAGUAUUUGAAUUUCUAUAGAUCUUUUGACCCCUCAUUGUUUUAUAAUUCAUUAUCAUUUGAAUUUCUAGAUGGUCACUCAAACAUUUGGAGACAUACUGUUUACUCCCGGCCCAGAAUGCUUGAAUGAAUUUCCCUCCCCUGAAUCUCUGAAGAAACGGAUUAUUAUAUCAACAAAACCACCAAAAGAAUACCUCGAGGCUAAAGAUGUGAAGGAAAAAGAGAAUGAUUCACAGAAGGGAAAGGAGUCUGCAGAUGAAGAAGCUUGGGGAAAGGAAGUUUCAAACCUUAAACCCAGUACUGUAGCCGUUGAUGAGGUGCAUGAAGAUUCUGGAUUUAAUUUGGGACCCCUCUGGUUUGUACACAUAGUGUUGAUUCCUCCAUUUCUGACUUAGCAUCUUCUAACAGAGUAACUUGGAAGAAGAAGAAAAUAUUGAUGAAGAAGAUCUUGAUGAAGGAGAUCCCAAAUCACAGCAGAAUGCAGCCCCCGAAUACAAGCGUCUGAUAGCCAUUCAUGCUGGGAAGGUGAAGGGGGGAUUAACAGAAUGGCUCAGGGUGGAUCCUGAUAAAGUGAGACGUCUUAGCUUAAGUGAGCAAGAGCUUGAAAAGGCUGUACUAACUCAUGGAAAAGAAAUUGUCAGGUACUGUUUACAAUCUUUUAGCAAGCUUUGUGUAAAACAUAUCUUGUUUGUUUGUAUUCAAUUUAUCCCUGUUUGUGCCAUAAGUGUAACACAAUUUAUUUUUCCUAGAACAAUAACUCAGCCCAUUAGCUGAUAUUCAUGCAGGAGGAUUACAAAGGCUUGCUUAUAAGAUUUCAAUUUUUUUCAUUGCAUAUUUCAAAUGAUGUAUUCCUGUUUGUGGCAUAAGACUGAACAGUUCAUUUUCCCUCUAACAAUAACUAAGCCCAUCAGCUGAUAUUUAUGCAAGGAGGAUUAGAAAGGCCCGCUUAGAUGAUUUUAUUUAUUUUUUCAUUGCUUGUUUCAAACAAAUGCAAGUACCUACCUUGAUAGGUUCCAGAGAUGAUAUACAAGAAGCAGCUGGUGUCAUCCAUGUGAAGAAUGUGAAGAGAGGUGAACCCUAGUAUUAGAGAACUUAUCAACGAUUGACCCCACUUUGAUGAUUAUUGCUAUUUGGUCGAUCACAUGACUAACAAUGCUAUUGGUCAUUGUCAAGAAUGGAUUCAUGUAAUGGAGUUACAAUUAUUUGAUUGAGUUAAACUUUUUUCAUGAAUAUGUCUCAUGGGGGGCAUCAAGAUAUGGGUUACAUUCUCCCUUGUGUAUAUUUUGCCUUUCCUGUAUAACAAGUUUUGACUAUACAUUACUUACUAUAUAUUAAUUACUAUAGAUUUGUAUCCUAACCAUCAAAUAACAAAGUUUGUCAUAUUCUGAUGGUUGGCUUGCUUUAGAUUUACCCAACGGAAUUUGCUGAGGGUGUACCCAAAGGGUAUACGUUUUGACUCUUCAAACUAUAAUCCAGUAAUUGGAUGGAUGCAUGGAGCUCAGAUGGUUGCAUUUAAUAUGCAGGUUAGGUUUUAGUUUCUUUAUCCAAAUGUGGUUUUGUUAUAUGUACUUCUCAGAGCUCAUUUAUGUAUAGAUCUUUUUGUCAUUUAUGUAUUUAUUCAUCUGAAAACUAAUGGUUAAAAAGAGAAGAUGUUGGAUGAGAUGUUACAAAAUUACCAUGCUUGAUAAGCAGGCAGUGUUAAGGCCUUGUUUCUCUGUUUCUUAAAUGAGGUUCCACUAAAUUGAAAUUAUUGUAUAGAGAUUCAGUAUAGUAAAAAAUGUUGAUACAUAGCUGCUUAUAUAGGAAAUAACAUAGGUAAGGCAGUGCUAAGUUAGGUUUAUCUUUCAAUCUUUUUUACUUUCAUCCCAUUUUUACCCUUUUUGUUUUCUGAUAGGGGAGUCAAAUAUAUCUUUCUGUGCAGUGGCAAUAACUCUCAUGAAACAGUUGCUUCACCUUGAUUCUGACACAAUGAUGAAUAAGUCAAGGAGAACUACAUUGUGGACCAUUAAGUAUAAGAUAUUUUUAAUACCUAUCAAAAAAAAAGUAUAAGAUAUUUUUAAUGUUAGAAAUAUUAUUCACCUAUCAAAAAAUGUUAGAAAUAUUCUUUAGUGCCAAAUAAAGGAUUAAAGCAAUUUUAUUUGUCAUAAAUGCUUUAAUAAUAAUUUAUGAUUUAAAAGAAAUCUAAAUAAGAUAAGCCCUUGAUGCAUUUGUUCAAACCAUUCCUUUAGGUGAGCUUUAAAAUCUGGGCCUUUCAUUUCUUUAAAAUGCUGACCAGACUAUAGCAUAGAGCACUUUUUUGGGAAAGCUAUUAAGACGGGGCACACUGGUUUUCUAAAAUAUAUCAGACAGUGAAGAAUGAAUGUCUCUGUUAUGAUGAUUUUUAUGAUCUCUGGCUAUUAUUGUUGUUAGCAUCAUGAGUCCAAAUUUUCACUCUCUCUCCUAUAAAGAUCUAUUUGUUGCUAUAAACCACAGCUUGGUUUUAAAAAUAGCAAAAUUAGACUAUACAAAAUUUAGCUACAGAUUAAUUACUUCAUUUUACAUUCAAUAAAUACAGUUUGGAUUUAAGGAUCCUUUUCAUAAUGAUGCAAAUGACAUAACAUGGAAAAGAAGACCAUUGAUUAUAGAACUAACUCUUUUACAUCAGAACACUCACAAUUUUCCUAAUGAUGGAAGUAAAAUAUGGAGAAAAAAGGGUAACUAAUUAGAGAACUUACUCUUUCACAUUAGAACAAUCAGAAUACCUAUUUCUAUUAAGAAAUUGUUUCAUCAGAACCAAUGGAGCCUAAAUAGAUUUGUAGUUCUUUCCAGAGAUAUAGAAAAUUAACUUUUGUUGAGGCAAAUUGUGUUGAAAGACAAUUAAAGGGUUUUUGAGGGCCGUAUGCGGUGGCCAGUGGGAUGUGAAGGCACACAAUUGGAGUCGGAAUCACUUUCUAAUGCUAAAAUAUUUAUGAUUAGCAUGCUGCAGUUGAAUCAUAGCAAGAUUAAUGUUGGAAAUUGUAGCCACUUUUUUCUUAUUGUACUUUUUUAACCUUAUUCAGAUUAUGUGUUUUUUGUUGUUUAGCACAUAACUUGAAAGAAAAGCUGUUGAAUUCUCACAUGCAGCUGAAUUUGGGAAUGUGAAUGCAUUUUCUGGCAUACUAGGUGCUAAUGCAAAUAAAGCUAUGCUGACAUAUGAUGCUAUCAUAUGCCUAGGCAGGUUCAACCCUGUCAAUAGCUAAAAAUGGGCCUUAGGAAACUUCCUAAACAGUAUGAACAUUGUAAUUUGUACCCUUAAGGAAGGACAAAAAUUUUGUGCCCUUUUGCUUCAGGUUGAUACAAAAAUAUUGAUAGCAACAACUGCAAGAUAUCUUUGUUGUACAAAUAAGUUGUUUUUUAUGAUACUUUUGUCAAUAUAAAAAGCAUGUUCUUGGUCACACCUUUAGUUGCAGACUGUGAGAUAUCAGUUUUUACCUCUGCCUAAUAUCAAGAAAGGGUUUUCCUCUGACAGGGAUAUGGUAGAUCACUCUGGAUAAUGCAUGGAAUGUUCAAAGCCAAUGGUGGGUGUGGUUAUGUGAAAAAACCGGACUUUCUAUUGAACAAUGGCUCACAUGAUGGGGUCUUUGAUCCUAAAGCUAAGUUACCAGUGAAAACAACUCUAAAGGUGACUACAGUAAUGCCCGGGCUACUGUCCAUAGUUCCCUAUGCCUAUUGGCUCAAGUGCCUCUUGUGUGUGUAUAUAUAUAUUUUGCAUCCGUCUCUGUAACUGAUGUUAGCUUUGUUACCAAAACAGGUAACUGUAUACAUGGGGGAAGGAUGGUAUUUUGAUUUCCGACACACACACUUUGAUGCAUACUCCCCUCCAGAUUUCUAUGCUAGGGUAAGUUGAUAUAGUCUACCAACAUAUUUUGAAUCUUCACCUAAUAUCCGUUUUUUUUUUUUCUCUUUUUUCAUUCCAUGUGAGAAUCCCCUUUCUUAUCUGUUGUCAUCAAUUUUGGGCAUACCCAGUUGGUGUGGGUCUCCAACUAGAUAUCUCACUGGAGUCUGAACAUUCUGUACGCUGCAGGUUGGAAUAGCUGGAGUUCCUGCUGAUACCAUAAUGAAGAAAACGAAAACACUGGAGGAUAACUGGACCCCUAAUUGGGAUGAGCAUUUUGAGUUCCCACUUACAGUUCCUGAACUGGCUCUUCUUCGCGUUGAAGUUCAUGAGUACGACAUGUCUGAGAAGGAUGACUUUGGAGGCCAAACAUGCCUACCCGUGUCUGAGCUUAGAAGAGGGAUCAGAGCAGUUCCCCUCUUCAGCCGCAAGGGGGAUAAGUACCCGUCUGUCAAGCUUCUAAUGCGCUUUGAAUUCGUGUGAUAUGAUUCCCACAAACAUCAUCCCUGCUUUCAAUUGGUUUGCUUCCACCGUGAGCUUGUAUCUACUAUUAUUUCUUGUUGCUCUGUGUAUGUAUGUAUAUAUGAUAUAUGUUCGGGUCUACCAUCUUGUAUUGUAUUGCAGCCAUCAACUGUCCUAUGUAGUUGACUUUUAGUAUACUAAGAGAAACUGCCACUAUGAACCGGUUUCCCCAUUAUAUUGUAUGGAGCAUUGGGUUGUUUCCGACGAAAGAGUUUGAACAGAUUUGAAUUUGUCUUAAAUCUGAAUAAAAAUAUAUUAGGAAGUGUUUGUUUCUUUGGAAAAGGCUGGUGUCAAGAUUGUGGGGAUGAAUCAACCUCCUUCAAUGUUGUUUUUUUAAAGAGACUAAAAGAAAUUGUUGUCUAUGGUUAUAACAAUAAAAUAAAUAUUUUUGAUUAUUAUUUUGCAUUGAUAUUUGAUAAAAUACUGGCUUCGUGUGUACUAAAAGCUCAGUUUGAAUUUGGGCUUUCGUUUGUAUAAGAGAGGCGUGUGAGUGACAGUGGAGUCUAGUCCCGGGCUUUCACCAGAUGGCUUCAAGGACCCACCAACCACCGCCACUCUCUCUCUCGUCGGAUUCAGAUACCGAUUCCGAGGGAAAUUCCGGCGGAGUAGAGACUCUCCGGCACGGUGACCUCUCGGACUCUAUCUUCAAAUCCUACAUUCAGAUCACAGGUCGUUCAUCGCCUGAUCUCUCGAAAAUCCAAUCUUUCCUCACAUCAUCGCGCUCCGGGGCUCUGUCAUGCCUAAUUUGCCUGGAGCGGAUCCGGCCGUCUGAUCCCACCUGGUCUUGCACCUCCGGCUGCUUUGCCGUCUUCCACCUCAUCUGCAUCCAAAGCUGGGCCCGCCAAGCCUCCGACCUCUCCGCUUCACGCGCCACUGCACGCCUGUCCGCCGAUCUCUUCCCCGCCGCAGCAGCAAAGGCCAUUGAAGACGCCGCCUGGCACUGCCCCAAGUGCCGAUUCGAGUAUUCUAAGGCCCUAAUCCCCAAAGCUUACUUCUGUUUUUGUGGUAAAUUACAAGACCCACCGAGGGACCCGUGGAUCUUACCGCAUUCAUGCGGCGAAAUAUGUAAUCGCCCACUGAAGAACAAUUGUGGUCACUAUUGUUUGCUGCUCUGCCACCCUGGCCCCUGUCCAUCCUGCCCAAAACUUGUACAAGCUCGUUGUUUUUGUGGGUCUGUCGAAGAUGUUCAGCGAUGUGGGUUCAAGAAAUUUUCGUGUAAGAAUAUUUGUUCCAAGUUAUUGGAUUGUGGGAUUCACCGGUGUUCGGAUACUUGUCAUGAUGGCCCUUGCCCUCCUUGUCAAGCUCGCAGUGUUUAUCGGUGUCAAUGUGGAGAGAUAGAAGAAGAGAGGGAGUGCUGCGAUCGGGUCUUUCGGUGUGAGGUCCCGUGUGGGAGAGUGCUUGGGUGUGGGAAGCAUGCGUGCAGUAAAGGUUGUCAUUCGGGUGAGUGUGGCCAGUGCCCACUUCAGGGAAGGAGGACAUGCCCUUGUGGGAAGAGGGUGUAUGAAGGGAUGGCUUGUGAUGUCUCGGUGCCACUCUGUGGAGCCACUUGUGAUAAGAUGUUGAGCUGCGGGUUUCAUAGUUGCCCGGAGCGAUGCCAUAGAGGCCAAUGCAUUGAGACUUGCAGGACUGUUGUCAUUAAAGGAUGUCGGUGUGGGAGCUUGAAGAAAGAGGUACAAUUUUUCUGUUGUGCUUACUGAGAAACUAUUUGCAUUGUUGUUUUACAUAUGGAAUGGCCAAUUUAAACUGAACCUAGAAUAGGUUCCUUGCUAUCAAGAUUUGGCAUGUGAAAGGAAAUGUCAGAAAGUACGAGAUUGCGGACGCCAUGCUUGUAAACGCCGAUGCUGUGAUGGGGAUUGCCCACCAUGCUCUGAGGUCUUCUUUACUCUUGGAACCAGGUCACUUCAUUUCUUCACAAUUAUUAUAUGUAAAUUUGCUAAAAUUUUGUAUUGCAGAUUUGUGGCAAGAGGCUUAGAUGUAAGAACCACAAGUGCCCUUCUCCAUGCCAUAGGUAUGUUACCUUGUAGUUUGUUUGUUGUAUCCGAGAGGUUGAGCUUUAACUACUAGUUAGGGAAAAAGGGGGAACUUCCAAGCAGUUCCAUUGUGUUCAUUAUAUUUGGUAAUACUAUAUUUUGUGUUUUAAUGCUAUCAUCUCAGUCUUGUCAUUUGGGUUCUUUUUGUGUUUAGCAUUUUCAUAUUUUUGUCAAUUGUAAUAUAUCAUUUUGACAUACCUUUGUAUCUAAGGACGAAUCUAUAAGACUAAAACCGAGUCAUGGAGAUGUUUUUAUUCUUUUCAAUGUGAAUUUUUUGGGAUCUUUGAUGUCUUGGCCAUGUGGUGCUGUAGCUAAUCUGUUGGGAUGUCAGAUGAACACAACACAUCACGUGACGAAAGUGGUAAGAGAGCAUUUGGAGCCUAUAAAGAAAAAGUUAAGAUAGCAUUUGGAAAACUUUGUUACUGAAAGAAUCAUGAAGCUUGUAUUUGGUGAACACAUGACAUAAUUCAUUCUCCUACGAUCUACCAAACAAUGGAUCACAUAAUAAGAAUGAUGUUUUCUAAAUGUAAGAGUUGUAUUCUUAUUUAUUAGUCUAAACAACUCAAAAAAAAAAAAAAAAAAACAUAACAAAAAAAAAACACCUAUUUAACCAUUCACCAUUCAAGUGUGAAGAAAUAGUGGUGGUGGUGAUGGCAAGAGUAGUAGAAACAGUGUCCAAAAUAGUCAAGACAGGUCUGAUGAUGAUGGUUGCCGUGGUGGCAAUGACCAUGGAAAUGGUUGGUGGCAUCGAGAACUAUGACCAAGGUGGAUGUAAUGGUGGAUGCUGCACAGAAACCUAUGGUAAGGUGGGGGCAGUGGUGUUAUAGCAACAACUGUGGUGGUGGUGGUGGUGGUGAGAUUAUGAUGGUUGUAGGCUUGUAGCAGUGUUAUAGGUGGUGUUACUGUGUUAGUGGGAAGGGUGGCGCUGGUGGUGACAGGUAGUAUGACUGUUAGACUGUUAUUUUGCAAUUUGUAUGACAAAGAGACAGGGCCUAAAGGAAUUUCAUAUGAGAAGUUAGGCAUUGUAAUUUUGCACUUCAGCUGUUUGAGCACCAGUGUAAAGUAUUUAUAAGAGC
This 62492-nucleotide long non-coding RNA is filed under the name Vitis vinifera (wine grape). RNAcentral's name for it is "long non-coding RNA (VVIN_LNC003990)". The record is from RNAcentral. Lineage: Eukaryota; Viridiplantae; Streptophyta; Magnoliopsida; Vitales; Vitaceae.